AAAGACAGACAACUCAGAAAGAAAAAAAAAAGGCAUCAGUUGAAUACCCUUAGGAAGCUGAAGCUUUAGAGCAUUUGAGUAGUAUUUUGGAGACACAAUUUACCAGAAAAACAAAGGGGUCUUUACAGUUUGCUCUAAGUUUGGUUUGCUGAAGUUUCUGGGUAAUUUCUGGGUGAUUUCGCUGCUGUUCCCAUUGAUGUUUUUACUGUCUUUGCUGCUGAAUUUCUGUUGUUGCACUGCUGUAUUUUAUUAUUCUACAAAUCAGGUAACUUUCAAAUUCUUAUAAUGCAGAUUCUUGAUGAUAAUAAGAAAGAUUUGAUCCUGGUUUGGCUGAUGAGAUACGUUAGAUAUGACUUUGUUCCUAGAUGAAUGAUAUGUUAGUGUUAUUAUUAUAUAAAUCUGUUAGAAGUUAGCUAAAUUAUCAGUUCUUCUUUACAUAUGUUGGUGAAACUGCAUUCUACUAAGUCUUUUAGUUAAGGAGAAGAAAUGUUCUUGUUGCAGAACAGCAGAAGUAUUCUGCAUAUGAAAUGUAAGAAUUGUUUUGGUUUCUUUUUGCCUUUAUUUCAUUUUUUUUUUUUACUUUUGUUACCUUAAGUGGCCUUUUAGUGUUAGAAACGCAACUGAACAAUAAUUCUUUUCAUGGUUGAGUUGAUUGAAAUUAGGGAAUAGCAUAUGGUGAGUGUCGCUGUUGAGAGUUUAGGUUAAUGGAGAGAAGCGGUGAAAGAAUAUUUUAUGUAUCAUUAAAUAUUUUGAACACCUACCUAGUUGAGUUUGAGCAUACACUGUUUCUAUUUACAUGUAUAGGAAUCCAAUUUUGUAAAUGCACUAUCUUUAUCCUUAGCUACAUGUCCAAAUUGGUGCUUAUUAGUUUUAAGAGUAUUUUAGGUUGCCAUCGCUUUUGGUUUAAGUUUGCUGGCCAUAUUCCUUUUUUUUUUUUUUUUACAUCAAGGCUAUUGGGAAUGUUUGAAAUUGUCAAGCUUGUAGUAACGAACAAGAUCUGACUCAAGUCUUUCAAAUGCUAGGCUUCAUUAAUAAAUUAGUUUUCAUUAAUAAAUUAAUAGGCAAUUUUAGGCACGUUUUAAAUGUAGAUCAUGUGUUCAUACACGAUCCUUGGUAAACAUUUAAUUAAUAAAAUGGUCAUGUGUGCAUUCUCAUUCCUUGACUCUUUAAUAAUAAAUUGUGUUUGAUCAUGCUUCUUACUCGUUCCUUGGUUAAAUGCAAAUAACUAAAUAAAGACUUUGUGUGCUUACACGCUCUUAGGCCAAAAUUAAUAAAAUUUGGUUAAAGCGGCAAUAUACAAUAGUAAUUGUAGGUAUAUAAUAAGCAGGUUAUCUAAAAUUAUUUAAGUCAAGUUUAAGUCGAUAAAACGACCGUGCUAGAACUACGGGAUUCGGGGAAUGCCUAACCUUCUCCCGAUCAACAAAAUUCCUUACCCGAAUUUUAUUUUCGCGGACCAAUAAAAAUAGAGUCAAACCUUCCUUUGACUAGGGAUUCAAAUAAAAGGUGACUUGGAAUACCAAAAAAUUAAUUCCAAGUGACGACUCUGUAAAUAAAAUAAUCUUUACUCAAAUUUGUCACUUCAAAUGGAAAAACUCUUUAACUCACAAUCCAUAAUAUAAUAUAUAUCUUUUGGGGUAAAAAGGGGGUGUGACAAGAACAUCAAUGUGGUGCCCAGCAACGAGGUGCCCAUGUUGACCCCAACGGAGUUCCAACCGCGGACCCGAUCGAUACUAACUCACAUGUGGCUAUCGAAGCAAACUUGCCAACCAAAUCCGAAAACAACAUUCGCGGGGAGCCUGAUCGAUAGUCCAGAGUACACACGAUGGCGAAGGCGAUGGGAUCAACUUGCGGGUGAUCUUUGAAAUGUUACAAGCUCAACAUGCAUCGAUAGCCCAGUUGCAGAACCAGAGUCGCGCCCCAGCAGAGUUGAGCCCGAACCGUCCCGGAAUAAUACUCGCAGAAAUGAACCAGUCACAGGAGCAUGGUGUGCUGCAAAAUAUGAGAUAGAAUAUGAAUUUGUACAAGCAUAUGAAGGAAGAUUAAACCACACCGACUAAAAUACUGCCAACCAAAUGAGUUUCCAAGAGGUAGAAAAGUCUGACAACAAAAAAAUCAAUUUGGUGGAGCAGGACGAGGAGCAGAUCUUCCUGCACAACGAAACAAGGAAAAUAAGGACUCUCUACCAGAAUAAAGGGGCAAGAAAGAGUUUCUCUUUUUUCCUUUUGCAAAGAUAGAAACACAUAAAUUACAACAGAAGACUACAACAUAAAAGGUUAAGUGUCAAAGGCAGCCAUUGAUGGAGAACUAAGACGAACUAGAGCUGCCAACCAAUAUAACAAUAAUAGAUAAAAUUGGAUGGCAACAAAAAAAGAAAGGCAACUUGAAAAAAAAUUACUACCUCAAUCCGAUACAUUGUACAGGAAGAAUGUUGCAUUAAAGCAAAAUGAAGAAAAGUUCUAUGCAAUGACUGUAUAUAUAAAAUUCUCAUUAUCAAAUAUGUAUCUGUAUGCAAAUUUCUAUACAAACAUUAAUAAUUUUGAAAAAUGGAAAGCAAUUUUCUAUUAUAGAUCAAAACACAGUGAUAGUGUAAGAAAAUCUCUACACUCAACAUAUUUAACUUAAAUCCAAACAAAAUCGGUAGACUGAGGUUUAAGCAAUUCUGCACGCCCUCUCCCCAGUUUCCCGUAAGAAUGUAAGAAACUCGGUCCAAAUCAUGUCCAAUGGGCAAUAGUUGAAUCUCAUGUCAAAAUUUCUGGCCUCAUAACAAACACACAAAACAAAAUAACACAAUUAAAAAUAUGACUAUUGUCUACAUAAACUACAAAUAAACUGUGGCUCUUUGGUGAAAAUACUAAUGCAAAAAAUCAGUGCUGCAAUUGCGUUUUCACUGUAACUAAAGUUUAUUAUCUUCUCAACCCACAAAUCUAGAAAUAGAAUCAAACUUAUCAGAAAGGAUUUCUGCCAAACCUCUAGCUCAAUUAGGAUUACUUAACUUCACCUGAUUAAUUGUAACGACCCGACAUGUCGUUUUGCUUUUUAGAACUCUGUUCCCCUAAUCAAGACUUUCCAUAUGUGCAUUCUCAAUUUUAUUACUUGUGGGGGCGGUUGGUUUAGUUUUGGAAGGGUUCGGGUUAAAUUCGGAACAUUUAGUUUCAUAAUAGUGGCCUAAGGUGGCCAAGUUUGACUUAAGUCAGCACUUUGAGUAAAUGUGACAACCCGACCUGUCACGACCCAAUUCUCUUAUAGGCCGUGAUGGUGCCCAACGCUACCGCUGGGCAAGCCAACAGUGAAUUAAACCAUGUUAUUUCUCUUUUAAUAAAUUUUCAAGUGAUUAAAUUCCAUUAAAUAAAAAGGUUACGAAACUGCAAAUUUGUAAAUAAAUAGACAAAAGCAGCUGAGUGCAAUCAUAACCAUAGAAUAAUCCAAAACCAUAUGUCUGUUAGUGUGUGUGCCAAGACCUGGUGUCAUAAGUGUAUGAGCAACUAAUAGAUUAUACAAAACUCUAGCCACUAUCUGAAAUAAAAAUAGACAGAAAUAAAUGUAAAGGAGAGAUUCUAGGUGCUGCGGAACGGCUCAGAAAGCAGCUCACCACUAGGCCUCGGGAUAUCUGGGAUGCGCGCCGGUAGUACCGCCAGAUGCACGUGCCUCAGAUCCUGCACGGUUAGUGCAGAAGUGUAGUGUAAGUACAUAAACAACAUGUACCCAGAAAGUAUCUAGUCUAACUUCGAAAAAGUAGUGACGAUGGGUCGACUUCGAUACUUACUAUGGGCUAGCAAUAUAAAUACAGAAAUUCUAACUAAGCAUGAGUUAUGUAAUUAAUAAUAAUAAUCCAUUAACAAGCAGGGGCAAAUAAUUCUUUCACAAGUUAAUAAAUUCCUGUCAUUGAUAAGUGUAACUUCCUAAGACACAAAAUAAUAUCAAGUAUGAUUAGGCUCCCAGUAUUAUUAAGCACCAUUUACGCGAAGGUCGUACGACCCGAUCCAGAAUAACGUGUACACUGCCGAGGGACGUGCGGCAUGAUCCAUAGAUGCAUCUAUCUACUGCCGCGGCGUUCGGCCCGCUCCACAAAAAGAGAGGAUACUUUAUAAGCAUUUGACUUAAACGUUAUAACAGGGCUAAUAUACAAUAUAAUAAAAUUUUCAUUAACGGUCAAAUAAUCCGCUAAAAAUUCAAGUAAGUGAAAUUCAGUCUUUUACAAUUUCUCUAACAAUUUCUACUAUAAUUUGGGGACUUAAAUUAACAAAUAGGAUGCAAACAUUACAUAUAAUCCAUAAUUUAGGUCCUAAGCUACCCGAACAUAAGCAUGAAUAGUAGCUACGCACGGACUCUCGUGGCUCAAGGCUCACUUUCCGGUCACAAUUUCGCUCUAAAGCCCCAACUCGGUGCCGAACAAUCCAAAACUAGUCAAAUGUUAUAUAAAUUAAUCAAUACAUGUUCAAAAGUUCAUAUUCUAACUAUUAGAGUGAUUACCCAACCCCAAUUGAAGGAUUCCUAAAAUUCAUCCCCGGGCCCACGUAUCCGAAUUUCGAAAUUUUUUAAAGGAAGUUGUCACCCAUAACCUCACGAACUUAAAUAUAUGAUUUUCACUCAAUUCCCUAACCAUUUUCGUGGUUAAAUCUCGUUUUUAUCAAAACCUAGGGUUUUCAUCUAAACCUAUAAUUUUCACAACUUACAUGUUAAAAUUUAUCCUUAAUCUAUGUACUUAACUUACAUUAGAUAGAAUUUACUUACCUCUAAGUGCUAGAUGAAAACCUCUCUCCAAGAGCUCCAAAAUCUCCCAAGAGAUGAAAGAAAAUGAGUCAAAAUAGCCUAAGUCCCGCAUUAAAUGGACUAUUCUGCCUCCAGGACUUUCGCAUCUGCGGUCCCUAGACCGCAUCUGUGGAAGGUUCAUCGCAGAUGCGGUCCUCCCUUGGCUGGCCUAAGUCCGCAUCUGCGGAACGAGGGUCGCUUCUGCGGCAGAUGAGCCGCACCUACGCAAGUCUCGCUUCUGCGGUCGCCUUGUUCGCAUUUACGAUUUCUGGCUGCCCAUGCUGGGCCGCUUCUGCGGUUGUUGGCUCUCUUCUGCGAGCUAGCACCUGCGGUUGGCCCUCCGCAGGUGCGGUUACACCAAAAGUUGGGUGCUUCAGCUGUUCACCCAUGGCUAAGCGACCUCUACGCAUCGUCCGAAUGGCAUCUGGGGCCCCCAAGGCCCCGUCCAAACAUGCCAACAAGUUUGAAAUCAUAAAACGGACUCGCUCGCACCCUUGGAACGCGGAAAACAACAUCAAAACUAAGAAUCAUACCUCAAACCAAAUUGAAUCAACUUAUGAACUUCAAGUUCUUCCAACUUAUUCCGAACGCGCCGAAACAUACUUAAACUACUCAGAAUGACACCAAAUUUUGCGUGCAAGUCUUAAAUUACCAUACAGAACUAUUCCCAGACUCGAAAUCCCAAACGGACCUCGAUAACACCAAAACCUACUCUAAACCAAAUUUAAAGAACUUCUAAACUUUCAAUAAACAACUUUUAACCUUAAGAGCCGAAAUGCUCCCAGGUCAUCCAAAACUCGAUCCGAUCAUACGCCCAAGUCCAAAAUUAUCAUACGACCUGUUGGGAUCGUCAAAUCCCGGUUCCGAGGUCGUUUACUCAAAAUGUUGACCAAACUCAAACUUAGCCCUUUUUGCCAACCUUAAGGAACCAAGUGUUCCGAUUUUAACCCGAACUCUUCCAAAUCCCGAACUAACCAUCCCCGCAAGUCAUAAAAUAGUAAAAGCACAUACGGGGAGUCUUAUUUAGGGGAACGGGGAUCUAAAAAGCAAAACGACCGGUCGGGUCGUUACAUUCUCCACCUCUUAAACAAACGUUCGUCCUCGAACGGGUCUAGAAUCAUACCUGGAGUGCUGAAUAAGUGCGGAUAUCUGCUCCGCAUGUCCUCCUCGGUCUCCCAAGUCGCCUCCUCGCCUGGUGGACCCCUCCACUGAACCUUUACUACAUAAAUCUUCUUAGACCUCAACUAGCAAACCUGUCUGUCAACAAUGACAACUAGCUCCUCCUCAUAACCGAGGCUCUCAUCCAACUGAACCGUGCGGAAGUCUAACACAUGCGACCCGUCGGCAUGAUACCUCCGGAGCAUAGACACGUGGAAAAUCGGGUGAACUCCUGAUAGACUGGGAGGCAAAGCAAGCUCAUAAGAGACCUCCCCAACACGUCUCAAUACCUCAAAUGGGCCUAUAAACCUUGGGCUCAACUUGCCAUUCUUUCUGAACCUCAUGAUUCCCUUCAUCGACAAGAUUUUCAAGAGAACCUUCUCGCCCACCAUAAACUGUAAAUCACGCGCCUUCUGAUCCGCGUAACUCUUCUAUCUGGACUGUGCUGUGCGAAGCUGCUCCUAAAUCAACUUUACCUUUUCCAAGGCAUCCUUCACCAAAUCAGUACCAUAUAACUUAGCCUCGCCGGGCUCAAACCACCCGAUGGGAGAACGACAUCGCCGACCAUAUAAAGCCUUAAAUGGAGCCAUCUCAAUGCUGGACUGAUAACUGUUGUUGUAAGCAAACUUGGCCAAAGGCAAGAAUCGAUCCCACUGCCCUCCGAAGUCAAUCACACAUGCUCUGAGCAUAUCUUCUAAGAUUUGAACUGUCCGCUCCGACUGCCCGUCGGUCAGCAGAUGAAAGGCUGUGCUGAGCUCUACCCGAGUCACCAACUCACUCUGUACUGCCCUACAAAAAUGUGAAGUAAACUGAGGGCCUCUAUCUGAUAUGAUGGAUAUAGGCACACCAUGCAACUGAACAAUCUCCUAGAUAUAAAUCUGGGCCAACUUAUCUGAAAAUACGUGGUCAUAACCGGAAUGAAGUGUGCCGACUUGGUCAACCUGUCGACAAUGACCCAAACUAUAUCAAACUUCCGCAAGGUCCGCGGUAACCCAACUACGAAGUCCAUAGUAAUGCGCUCCCAUUUCUACUCAGGUAUAGUCAUCUGCUGAAGUAGGCCACCUGGCCUCUGAUGCUCAUACUUGACCUGCUGGCAAUUUAGGCACCUUGACACAUACUCAACUAUGUCCUUCUUCAUCUGCCGCCACCAAUAAUGCUACCUCAGGUCGCGAUACAUCAUAGUAGCACCUGGAUGAAUAGAAUACUGAGAGCUGUGUGCCUUAUCUAGAAUCUUCUCCCUCAAGCCAUCAACAUUAGGAACACAUAGGCGACCCUGGUGUCACAGAACACCAUCCUCACCGAGAGUAACCUCCUUGGCACCCUGUAGUACCGUCUCUCUGAGAACCAACAAGUGCGGGUCAUCGAACUGGCGAGCCUUGAUCUGCUCGAAUAGUGAAGACUGAGCAACGACGCAUGGAAGAACUCGGCUGGGCUCUGAAAUAUCCAACCUCACAAGUCUGUUAACCAAGGAUUGAAUGUCCAAAGCUAGUGGCCUCUCCUCUGCUGAAAUGAAUGCCAAACUACCCAUACUUUCCGCCUUUCUGCUCAAGGCAUCCGCAACUAUAUUAGCCUUGCCCGGAUGAUAAAGGAUGGUAAUAUCAUAAUCCUUUAGUAACUCAAGCCACCUGCGCUGCCUCAAAUUGAGAUCCCUAUGCUUGAACAAAUGCUGCAAGCUGUGAUGAUCGGUGUAAACCUCACAGGACACCCCGAUCUUAAGUGCAUGGACAAUUGCAGCCAACUCCAAAUCGUGUACCGGAUAAUUCUUCUCGUGGGGCUUCAGCUGACGUGAAUUAUAUGCAAUAACUUGCCCCUCCUGCAUCAGUAUACAACCCAAACCAACGCGUGAAGCAUCGCAAUACAAAGUAUACGUCCCUGAACCGGAAGGCAACACUAACACUGGUGCUGAAGUCAAUGCGGUCUUGAGCUUCUGAAAGCUCACCUCACAAUCACCGGACCAUCGGAACGGAACACCCUUCCGGUUCAAUCUAGUCAAAGGUGUUGCAAUAGAUGAGAAGCCCUCCACAAACCGGCGAUAAUAACUUGCUAACCCCACGAAGCUCCUGAUCUCAGUCGUUGUGGUAGGACGAGGCCAACUCUGAACUGCCUCAAUCUUCUUGGGAUCAAGCUUAAUACCCCCGGCUGAUACAACAUGCCCCAAGAAUGCUACAAAAUCUAGCCAAAACUCGCACUUGGAGAACAUAGCAUAUAGCUUCUGUCCCCGCAAGGUCUGAAGCACCACUCUCAAAUGUUGCUCGUGCUCCUCCAUGCUACGCGAGUAGAUCAAAAUGUUGUCAAUGAAGACAAUGACACAUGAAUCAAUAUAUGGCCUGAACACCCGCUUCAUCAAAUCCAUAAACGCCGUCGGGGUGUUAGUCAAGCCAAAGGACAUCACUAGAAACUCAUAAUGGCCAUAUCUAGUCCGGAAAGCCGUCUUCGGAACAUCCGAAUCUUGAAUCUUCAACUGAUGGUACCCUGAUCUCAAGUCGAUCUUAGAGAACACCCUGGCACCCUAGAACUGGUCAAACAAAUCAUUAAUACGCGGCAACGGGUACUUGUUCUUGAUGGUAACCUUGUUCAACUGGCGGUAAUCAAUGCACAUCAGCAUAUUCCCAUCUUUCUUCUUCAUAAAUAACACUGGUGCACCCCAAGGCGAUAUUCCUGACAAACCCUUUUGCUAGCAACUCCUCAAGCUUCUCCUUCAACUAUUUUUGAACCAUGCGGUAUGGUGGGAUAGAUAUAGGCUGGGUACGAGGAGUCAAAUCAAUACAGAAAUCAAUAUCACGAUCUGGUGGCAUGCCUGGAAAAUCAGAAGGAAACACAUCGGAGAACUCCCGGACCACGGACACUGAAUCAAUCGCUGGAGUCUCUGUGGUAGUAUCCCGAACAUAGGCCAGAUAAGCCAAACAACCCUUCUCGACCAUGUGUCGAGCCAUCAGAAAAGAAAUAACCUGACUAGAUGUACUGACAGACGAACCCUUCCACUCCAAUCUAGGCAACUCUGGCAUCGCCAAGGUAACAGUCUUGGCAUGAUAAUCAAGGAUGGCAUGAUAUGGAGAGAACCAGUCCAUGCCCAAGAUGACCUCAAAGUCGAUCAUAUCGAGCAACAGAAGAUCCGCUCUAGUCUAAUAACCACAGAAUGUAAGAAUGCAGGACCAGUAGAUCUGAUCCACAAUAACAGAAUCUUCCACAUGAGUGGACACAUAAAUAGGAGUACCCAAGGACUCACGAGUAACACCUAAAAAAUGAGCAAACAGAGAUGAAACAUAUGAAUAUGUAGAUCCUGGGACAAAUAAUACUGAAGCAUCCCUACCGCAGAAAGAAAUAAUACCUAUGAUCACAGAAUCUGAGGCCACUGCAUCUGGUCUGGCCGGAAACACAUAGAACCUAGCUGGAGCGCUACCUGACUGGCCUCCACCUCUAGGACGACCCCUACCCGCCUGCCUUCCACCUUUGGGUGGCCGAGCGACUGGUUGGGCAGUUGGUGCUGUAAUCAUAGGCUGCUGACCCUGCUGCACUGCCUUGACCUGAAGUCUGGGGCAGAACUUCCGCACAUGACUGAGAUCCUCGCACUCGAAAUAACUUCUCGGUACGGUGAGCUGCUAACCUGAAGUCUGACCCUGAUGGCCUGAAUACCCACUGGAGUAACACUGAAUAGCUGGUGGGCGGUAGGAACUCUCUGGCAUGGCACUGAAAUAGGGCCUCACUAGAGCACCCCGAGGAGGCGGCGAUGCUGGAUAUGCGGGCCUGCUAGACUGACCCCUCACGAAUUGACCCCUUCCCCCAGCUGGGGCACCUUUGUACUCUCCCGAAUACUGAAACCGCUUAUCCCUCAUAGCCUUCUCCCGGCUACGUUAACGUACACCCUUGAUCCUCCGAGCUAUCUCUACAACUAGCUCGUAAGAAGUCCCUAUCUCAACCUCCAGGGCCAUGAUGGUCUGAAUGCCAGUGUGCAAACCUACAACAAACCUCUUCACUCUCUCUACAUUGGUGGAAAUGAUCAUAAGUGCAUGGCGAGACAACUCAGAGAACCUCGCCUCAUAGUUGGUCACUGACAUCUGACCCAGCUGGAGCUGCUCGAACUGAAACCGUAACUCUUCCCUCUAAGAGGGUAAAAUAUAUAUGUCUAGGAAAAUACGGGUGAACCGGUCCCAAGUAAUGGGAGGAGAAUCUACUGGUCUACCAAGAAGAUAUGACUGCCACCACCUACGAGCCCUGCCCUCCAGCUGGAAAGUGGUAAAAUCCACCCCAUGGGACUCCAAUAUCCUCAUGUUGUGCAGUCUGUCCCUGCACCGAUCAAUAAAGUCCUGGGGGUCCUCAUGUCGCUCACCUCCAAAGACAGGGGGAUGAAGCCUAGUCCAUCUAUCCAAUAGCUUCUGUGGAUCACCGGUCGCAGCUGGUCUGAGCUCAGGUAUAGCUGUUGCAACUGGCUGAGCUCCUCCCACGGGUAAUGUGCCCGGGGUCUGCUAUACGGCAGUUGCAUGCCCUGAAGCCUGAGCUGUAGGGGUUUGUGCUCCCCCUCCCUGCUGAGAUGUGGUUGGAUCUGCUGGAAAUAAACCAGCCUGGGUCAUAAAAUCCAUAAACCGCACCAUACGGCCCAUGACCUCCUAGAAUCCCGGUGCAGACAUGAAAUCCACCGGGGCUGGCUCUGCUAUAGGAACCUCGCCCUGCUCCUUAAUAAUAGGAUCCUCUACUGGAUCCAUGAGUGGCAUAGCAGGGGCAACACUGGGACGUCCUCGUCCCCUACCAUGGGCUGGAGACCUCCCUCGACCUCUGCCUCUAGCAACAGGGGGAGUAGCCUCUCCAUGGUCUGGAACAUCCGUUGUGCUUGUUCUCACCAUCUGUGACAGAAUAAGAGAAAAAUACUUAGUACCACAUCAACUGCACGAUAGGAGAUGGAGAAAAAGUAGUUUUCUAACACCCUAUAGCCUCUCGAAGAUAUGUACAGACAUCUCCGCACCAAUCCGGAAGACUCUAUUAGGCCUGCUCAUAACUUGUGAGACCUACGUGAACCUAGUUCUCCGAUACCAUGUUGUCACGACCCAAUUCUUUUAUAGGCCGUGAUGCCGCCCAACGCUACCGCUAGGCAAGCCAACAAUGAAUUAAACCAUGUUAUUUCUCUUUUAAUAAAUUUUCAAGUGAUUAAAUUCCAUUAAACAAAAAGGUUAUGAAAUCGCAAAUUUGUAAAUAAAUAGACGAAAGCAGCUGAGUGAAAUCAUAACCAUAAAAUAAUCCAAAAUCAUAUGUCUGCUAGUGUGUGUGCCAAGACCUGGUGUCACAAGUAUAUAAGCACAAAUAGAUUAUACAAAACUCUAGCCACUGUCUGAAAUAAAAAUAGACAGAAAUAAAUGUAAAGGAGAGACUUUAGGUGAUGCGGAAUGGCUCAGGAAGCAGCUCACCACUAGGCCUCGGGAUAUCUGGGAUGCGCGUCUGUAGUACCGCCAGAUGCACCUGCCUCAGAUUCUGCAUGGUUAGUGCAGAAGUGUAGCCUAAGUACAUAAACAACAUGUACCCAGUAAGUAUCUAGUCUAACCUCAAAGAAGUAGCGAUGAGGGAUCGACUUUGACACUUACUAUGGGCUAGCAAUAUAAAUACAGAAAUUCCAACUAAGCAUGAGUUAUGUAAUUAAUAAUAAUAAUCCAUUAACAAGCAGGGGCAAAUAAUUCUUUCAGAAAUUAAUAAAUUCCCGUCAUUGAUAAGUGUAACUUCCUAAGCCACAAAAUAAUAUCAAGUAUGAGUAGGCUCCCAGUAUUAUUAAGCACGAUUUAUGCCGAUGUCGUACGGCCCGAUCCAGAAUAACGUGUACCCUGUUGAGAGACGUGCGGCAUGAUCUAUAGAUACAUCUAUCUACUGCCGAGGCGUUUGGCCUGCUUGAUAAGAAGAGAGGAUAUUUUAUAAGCAUUUGACUUAAAUGUUAUAACAGGUCUAAUACACAAUAUAAUAAAAUUUCCAUUAACGGUCAAGUAAUUCGCUAAAAAUUCAAGUAAGUGAUCUUUUACAAUUCCUUUAACAAGUUCUAAUAUAAUUUGGGCACUUAAAUUAACAAAUAGGGUACAAACAUUACUUGUAAUCCAUGAUUUGGGUCCUAAGCUACCCGAACAUAAGCAUGAAUAGUAUCUACGCACGGACUCCCAUCACCUCGUAAAUACGUAGCCCCCACAAUUAGAAGCAAAUAUUAAUUUAAAUCACCUAUGGGGUAAAUUCCCUCUUACAAGGUUAGACAAGAGACUUACCUCGUCUCAAGGCUCACUUUCCAAUCACAAUUUCGCUCUAAAGCCCCAACUCGAUGCCGAACAAUCCAAAACUAGUCAAAUGUUAUAUAAAUUAAUCAAUACAUGUUCAAAAGUUCAUAUUCUAACUAUUAGAGUGAUUACCCAACCCCAAUUGAAGGAUUUCUAAAAUUUAUCCCCGGGCCCACGUGCCCAGAUUCCGAAAGCUUUUGAAGGAAGUUGUCACCCUUAACCUCACGAACUCAGAUAUAUAAUUUUUACUCAAUUCCCUAACCAUUUUCGUGGUUAAAUCUCGUUUUUAUCAAAACCUAGGUUUUUCAUCUAAACUCAUAAUUUCCACAAUUUACAUGUUAAAAUCUACCCUUAAUCUAUGUAUUUAACUUACAUUAGAUAGAAAUUACUUACCUCCGAGUGCUAGGCGAAAACCCCUCUCCAAGAGCUCCAAAAUCGCUCAAGAGGUGAAAGAAAAUGAGUCAAAAUAGCCUAAGUCCCGCAUUAAAUGGACCAUUCUGCCUCUAGGACUUCCGCAUCUGUGAUCCCUGGGCCGCAUCUGCGGAAGGUUCAUUGCAUAUGCGGUCCUCCCUUGGUUGGCCUAAGUCCGCAUCUGCGGAACGAGGGUCGCUUUUGAAAGUCCCCUCCUGCGGCAAAUGAGCCGCACCUGCGCAAGUCUCACUUCUGCGGUCGCCUUGUCUGCAUCUGCGGUUUUUGGCUGCCCAUGCUGGACCGCUUCUGCGAUAUCGCACCUACGGUUGGCCCUCCGCAAGUGCAGUUAUACCAGAAGCUGGGUGCUUCAGCUGUUCACCCAUGGCUAAGCAACCUUUACGCAUCGUCCGAAUGGCAUCCGGGGCCCCCGAAGCCCCGUCUAAACAUGCCAACAAGUUUGAAAUCAUAAAACGGAAUCGCUCUCACCCUCAGAAUGCGGAAAAUAACAUCAAAACUAAGAAUCACACCCAAACCAAAUUGAAUCAACUUAUGAACUUCAAGUUCUUCCAACUUACUCCGAACGUGCCGAAACAUACUUAAACUACUCGGAAUGACACCAAAUUUUGCGUGCAAGUCUUAAAUCACCACACUGAAUUAUUUCCAGGCUUGGAAUUCCAAACGGACCUCAAUAACACCAAAACCUACUCUAAACCAAAUUUAAAGAACUUCUAAACCUUCAAUAAGCAACUUUCAACUUUAAGCGCCGAAAUGCUCCCAGGUCAUCCAAAACCAAUUUGAACAUACGCCCAAGUCCAAAAUCAUCAUACAAACCUAUUGGGGUCGUCAAAUCCCAGUUUUGAGGUCGUUUACUUAAAAUGUUGACCAAAGUGAAAAUUAGCCCUUUUUGCCAACCUUAGGGAACCAAGUGUUUCGAUUUCAACCCGAACCCUUCCAAAUCACGAACUAACCAUCCCCGCAAGUCAUAAAAUAGUAAAAGAACAUACAUGGAUUCUUAUUUAGGGGAACGGGGAUUUAGAAAGCAAAACAACCGGUCGGGUCAUUACACAACCGGUCAUUUUGUGUAAUUGCAUCUCGUUUCCCUUUUGAUUUUUCACACUUGUGUGUUUAUGGUUUUAUGACUUACCGGAUUGAUUAGUUUCAUUCCUAGAAGAUUUUGAGUUGAUUUGGACCCUUUGAUUCUUGACAUAGAAGCUUAAGUUAAAAAAACAAAUUGACAAAACUUUGAAUUUUGUGAAAACGAUCCCGAAACGGUGUUUUGAUGGCUCUGAUAGCUUCGUAUCAUAUUUUUUGACUUGGGCAUAUGCCCGAAAUCGAACUCGAAAGUCUGUAGAUUGAUUUGUGUUAUUUUACCGAAAUGUGGCAAUUUGAAGUUGAAAAGUUUGACCGUAGGUUGACUUUUAUCUAUCGAGUUCGGAAUUUGAUUUUGAGACUUGGAAUAGGUCUGUUGUGCUAUUUUGAAAUUGUCUACAAAAUUUGGUAUCAUUUGGAGUUGAACUGAUAGGAUUCAGAUGCUUAGUUGCAAUUCUAGUAGUUCUUGAACUUUACUUGGAAUUUCAUGUGUUUUAGUGUUCGAUUCGUAGUUCUAGAUAUUAUUUUUGUGUUUUGAUCACACGAGCGAUUUCGUGUGAUGUUUUUAGAUUUGUUCGGAUGUUUGGUUCUCGAAUGAGUUUCGGACAUGUUUCGAAAUGAAUUGAACUGAAAAUGAAUUGUCGGUGUUACUAGUGCUCUGUUAUCGCAAUUGCGAGCACCGGUCUCGCAAUUGCAAGGUGAAAGGAGGUCUCUGAUGUCGCAAUUGCGGCUGGCCUCUUCGCAAUUGCAAAGUCAGUAGGCCUUAGGCAUGGGUCGCUUUUGCGAACAAUUGUUCGCUUUUGCGAAGAAGUCCAGCUUUGCAAUUGCAACAAUUGUUGAGGCUGUCAGGGUUCGCAAAUGCGAUCCCUGGUCCGCAAAUGCGAACCCUGUUUCGCAAAUGCGACAUCUACAGCUGGACUAAAGGGCUGGGAGUCGGGAUUUUCAACAUAUUCUCUCAUUUUAGAAUCCUAAACUCGGUAAGAGGCGAUUUGGAGAGGAGAUUUUUAUCUACAAACAUUGAGUAAGUGAUUCUACUCAAUUUUCAACUAUAUUUCAUCAAUAUAUCUUAGAUUUAACAUUAAAAAUUAUGUGAAUCAAAGUGGAAAUUUGUGAAACUUUGUCAAGUUUUUGAAAAUAAGAAUUUGAGUUUUGAGAUUUGAUUUGGACUCGGAUUUUGAAAAUAAUCACAUAUAUGAACUCGUGGGGUUAUGGGUAGUCGGAAUCUACCCUUGGACCUGAGUUUUGACCGGGCGAGCCCUGAGUUGACUUUUGUUGACUUUUUUGGGAAAAGUGUAAAGAUCAUAGCUUUAUUUAUUGUAAUUUUUUUCCCUUGCAUUGUUUGAUGAUACUAAGUCAAUUUUGGUCAGAUUUGAGCCGUGUGGAGGCGAAUUUUAGGGAAAAAGCUAUUUUCGAGGAUUGAGUUAGCCUAGUUGAGGUAAGUAUCUUGCCUACCUUUGUGUGCGGGAACUCCUCCUUAGGAUUUGGGAUUGAUUGUGUCAUUUGGGCUAUGUGAAAGCCGUGUACGCAAGGUGACGAGUGGGUACACGAGUUAUAUGUGAUAUUUGGCUGGUUUAGGCUACUUAGACUCUUUCCAUGCUUUAAUUAAAUUGUCAUAUCAUGUUCUAAAUUCUCAUAGUCAAUCUACUCUUACUUGUGUUGGUCUAUCCUUACAUGCCUUAAAUGAGUUUGUCAACACUUGUUCUACCUCUUACUUGUUGUUUUGCUCUUAUAUGCCUAGUUGAAAAUGUUUCCUCUUUCAUUAUUACAUGUUAUCUCUCUCAUUGUUGAGUUAUCGUAUUUGAAGUCAUUGUUACAUGUUGUUUCUUUCAUUAUUGUUUAUUUGAAGUCAUUGUUACAUGUUUUCUUUUCCAUUGUCGAUUUAUCAUUAUUGAAGUCAUUGUUACAUGUUAUCUAUUUCAUUAUCGAUUAUCCUUAUUUGAAAUUAUCGUUACAUGUUAUCUCUUCCAUUAUGAGUUAUUCUUAAUUAAUAUCGUGGUUAUACAUUAUCUCUCUCAUUGUUGGGUUAUUGGUGUUGAAGUUGUGAAAGCCGUUAUCACAUUGAUGCGAAGUUGUUAAUUGUUAAGAUAUCUUUCUUGUUGAGAAAUUUACAAACAUUGUUAUUGUUGAUGUUCUUGUACACAUUGGGGUUGAGCCAUGGGCUAUUGUUGUGCACAUAUUAGUAUUGUUGAUUAUUGACAAGUUUUGACAUAUGGGCACUUGUGGUGCGAGUUGUUAUUGUGAUGUGAUAUUGAUGCGCAUGCGGCGGUAUAAGGAUAAGGGUUAAUAUGCAUGCGGCGGCAUAAGGUGGGACUUAUGUACGUGUUGCUUGUAAGGGAAUUACUUGAAGCCACGCGGCGUCAUAAGGUGGGCUAAAGUACAUUUAUCCAUUUCGGAAAAAAUAUUUUCAAAACUAUUUAAAUGUAAGGCUCACACGGCAGUAUAAGGAAAGAUUGUGAUUAAAAAUGAGAAAUGUGAAUAUGAGGCGGUACCUCGGUUGUGAUUCUUGUUGUAUACGAGGCGGUACCUCGGUUUUGAUUCUUGUUGUGUACGAGGCGGUACCUCGUUUGUGAUUCUUGUUGUUUAUCUCAUGUUGUAAAGAGUUGUUGGUAAAACACUUCUUGUUGCUUUUAUUCUUCCUUGUCUUAUCAGUUUGGAUCCGUAUUUGACUAUGGUGGUUCUCUUUAAUUGCUUCUUUUAUGUUAUCUCUAUGCUGACAAUUCUGGCAUUAGUCUAUGUUAUUAACUUAUUUCGUAUCAGUUAUUUCUCCGCCUUCCAUUACUUCUCGUUAUUAUAUUUUUAUUGUGUUUAUUAUGUCCUAGUAGAUGUCUUGACCUGGCCUCGUCACUACUCUACCGAGGUUAGACUUGAUACUUAUUGGGUACCCUCGUGGUGUAUUCAUUCUACACUUCUGCACAUCUUUUUAUGUAGAUCCAGGUACGUCUGCUCGUGAUGGACGUUAGUAAUUGGUUGUAGCUGAUUUUUCGGAGACUUCAAGGUAUACCUGCUCGGUGUCCACAUGCCUCGGAGUCACCUUCCUUAGUCUUUCUUUUCUGUUGUAUUUCUCGUUCAGAUAGUGUUGUAGUAGACAUUCUAGUUUAUUCUGUAGAGCUUAUGACUCAGUUCCACUAGUUUUGGGAAGUGUGUUGUUGAGAUCCUAUUUUGGAAGGUUAUAUGAGUUUAUCAGUCUUGCUUUAGUUUUUUGUAAAUUAUUUCUGUCAAGUUAUUAUUAAAUGUUAUGCUUACCUAAUCUUAGAGAUUAGGUGCCAUCGCGACAUUCUAAAGAGGAAAAUUAGGAUCGUGACAGUAAACGACCUUGGAAUCGGGGUUUAAAGGUUCGUAUGGUAAUUUUGUACUUGGACAUAUAUUGAGGUCGAGUUUCGGGUGGACCGGGAGCGUUUCAUCGCUUAUUAUUGGAAGUUGACAUUUUGAAGGUUUUAGAGUUUUUUAAGUGUGAGACUUUGGUGUUAUCAGAUUCUGUUUGGUAUUCUAAGCCUCGAGAUAGGUUUGUAUUGUCAUAUUGGACUUGUAUAUAACAUUUUGUGUGAUUCCGAGUUGUCUAAGUAUGAUUCGUCGCAUUCAGUGUUACUUGGAAGAAGUUUGAAGUUUAGAAGUUGAUUAAUUUUGUUUGGGGUGUGAUUCUUGGUUGCGAUAUUUUUGUAUGUGUUUUGAGUCCUCGAGUAGGUCCAAAUUAUGUUUAUGAACUUGUUGGUAUAAUUGGACGGGGUCCCGAGUGGCUCGGGUAAGUCUCGGACCACCCGGCGCAAUGUAGAAGUUGGCAGAUUUUUGUUGGUGCUGGUGUGCUUCACGAUCGCAAAGGGAGUUCCACGAUCGCGAUGAAGAUUUGGAGGACGGAUAACUGUUUCUCUUCACGUAUGUGAAUAUGGCUCCACGAACACGAUGGAGGACCCGACUCCUCUUUGCGAUGCGGAGGAGCCUACGCGAACAUGAAGAGGGAAGAGGAAGGAAGUGGACAUGCAAGCUAGGCCUUCGCGAAUGCAGCAAAGGGGACCCCAAACGCAAAGGGUUGGGAGGCUAUUUCUCUUCGCGAACACGAUUGGGGCAUCGCUAACGCAAUGAAGGCAGACCUGGGUAGGGCAGCUUUGGCCUUCGCGAUCGCGAGGAUUAUUCCGCGAUCGCGAUAAAGGAUGCCUAGGCAGAAUGUGAUUUUUUAUACGGGACUUAGACUCAUUUUACCCUAUUUUCUCUUGUCUUGGCCGAGUUGGGAGCUCUUUGAAGGACCAUUUUCACCAAGUGUCUUUAGGUAAACGAUUUCUACAUAUUGUGAGUAAAAUGCAUGGAUUUGGUGUGGCUUUUAAUUUGGAAAUUAGUAGAAUUUUGGGAUUAUGUUGAAAAUCCUAGAAUUUGGUAAAAAUGAGAUUCGACCAUGAAAUUAUUUAUGGAAUUUGGUAUAAAUUAUAUAUUUGAGUUCGUAACUCCAUGGGUAACAUUUAACUUUAAAAAUUUAUAGAAUCCGGGCACGUGGGCCUGGGGUUAACUUUUAUUGACUUUUCUAGUGGGGUUGGAAAUUGACUCUAAACUUGAAUUAUUAGUUUUUGAGCAUAUAUUGAUUGGUUUGUACGUCCUUUUGACUAGUUUGUAAUUGCUCGGCGUCUAUUUGAGGUGUUAGUGAGGUGUGCGAGCCGAGUAAUGGGCUUGAAAGCAAGGUAAGUCUCUUGUUUAAUCCUGUACGAGGGAAUUAUCCCUGUAGGUAUCUUAUUUUAUUGUAUGCCACAUGUUAUGGGUGCUAUAUACGUACCAGGUGACGAGUGUCCGUGCGUUAGCUAGAUUUAUGUGUAUGUCCGAGUAGAUUUAAAUCUACAUUAUGCCUUAAUUGUAUUGCUUGAAUUAAACUUGCUUGUUUGAUCAUUUGAAUUCAUAAUUGAGAUUGAGACUAGAAUUUAUGUGCUGACCUAGGCUAUUUACUUUGAAUUUUAUGGGAUAUUUGAUGGUCGGUAACAAUUAUGUUUUCUUUUGAAUUCCUAUCCUCGUUGUGUUUAUGUGAUUGGUAGUUCCGUAUCUUCUCAAUUUGCAUGUAUCUUUUCGAGUGGAUAAGUUUAUCUAUUCCUAUGGGAUCAGGCCGUUCGUCUCGGCAGUGUUAUGAAAUAUCAUUAUGGGAUCUGGUCGUUCUCCUCGACAGUAUUAUGAGAUGCAUAUGUGGAUCGAGACGUACGACCUUGACGGUAUUGUGUAGUAGUAUUCUUAAGGGAUCAGAUCGUUCGCCUCGGCAGAAUCGUGCGUAAUAUUCGCUAGGGAGUCAACGUAUAUAUGAGUUUUUCUGACUUAACAUUUGACAUUGUAUUUGAUAUUGGUUGUCCUUGUUUGCUUUGAGGCAGUUUAUGGUAUUUGAUGAUUCCGUAAUUAUUCUUACUUGAUAAUCAUAUUAUUUAUAUUUAUCUGUUUCAUUGCUACUUGUUGUGUUUCUUACCUGUCUACUUUAUGUAUAUUAUUAUUGGACCAUUAGUAAGUGUCAAUGUCGACCCCUCGUCACUACUACUUCAAGGUUAGACUAGAUACUUACUGGUUACGCGUUGAUUUACGUACUCGUACUACACUUAUGUACUACUUGUGUAGGUACCAAUACAGGUACAUCAGGUGGUCACUCGGGCACGUAGCCACAUUAGCUGGAGAUUUAGUGGUGAGCUGUUUUCCAUGCUUCGACCCGGAUCACCCUGAGUCUCCUUUCUCCUAUGUUUAUUUUAUUCUGUCUUUUUUUAUUCCAGAUAGUAGUUAUAGUGGUUUUCUAUAUUCUACUAGAUGCUCAUGCAUUUGUGAUACUGAGUUUUGGAGAUUUUUAGUAGAUGUUUAUGGUUGUACCUAAUAUUUAUAUCAUUACGCUUUAUGUUUUGUUUAUACUUCGAGACUUAGUAAGAAUGAAAGUAGUUUUUAUCAUGGUUUCUAAACUUAAUUCUAUUUUAUUAAUGAAUUCUUGAUUUUAAAAGUGUUAUGAAUGGAUGAUUGUGUUGGUGGUUUACCGUUAGCUUGUCUAAAGGCAGCGUUGGGUGCCAUCACGGCCUAUGAUGGGAACUGGGUCGUGGCAGCUUGGUAUCAGAGCACUAGGUUCACAUAGGUUUCACGAGUCAUGAGCAGACUCAGUAGAGUCUUGCAAAUUGGUGCGGAGAUGCUCAUACUUAUCCGCUACCGCAAAUUAAGGUCUUUCUGCUUGAACAGAUUCUGGAGACACCGAUGGUUUGUAUAGACCUCACAUGGUACGCCGUAUGGAUAGUGCCUCUAAAUCUUAAGCGCGUGAAUAAUGGCUGCCAACUCUAAGUCAUGCACAUGGUAAUUCUUUUCAUGAACCUUCAACUGCCGAGACGCAUAGGCAUUCACCCUACCAUCCUGCAUCAAUACCACACCAAGCCCAAUACGUGAUGUAUCACAAUACACAACGUAAGAUCCCAAACUUGUAGGCAACACCAACAUUGGGGCUGUAUUCAAUGCAGUCUUGAGCUUCUUAAAGCUCAACCACACUUGUCGGACCACCUGAAAAGAGCACCCUUCUCGGUCAACUUGGUCAAUGGGUCUGAGAUAGAUGAAAACCCCUCCACGAAUCGGCGAUAAUAACCCACCAAACCAAAGAAGCUCCGAAUCUCUAUAGCUGAAGUAGGUCUAGGUCAGUUCUGAACUUCCUCAAUCUUCUUAGAAUCCACCUUAAUUCCCUCGGAAGAUACAACAUGGCCCAAAAAGGCAAUCGAGUCCAACUAGAACUCACACUUUGAAAACUUGGCAUAUAACUGACGAUCUCUCAGAGUUUGAAGUACAAUCCGCAGAUGCUGCUCGUGCUCCUUUCGACUGUGGGAGUAAACCAAAAUAUCAUCAAUGAAGACGAUCACAAAAGAAUCCAAAUAGAGCUUGAUACCCAGUUCAUCAAAUCCAUAAAUGUUGUUGUGGCAUUAGUCAAGCCAAAUGACAUCACUAAAAACUCAUAGUGACCAUACCAAGUCCAAAAAGCUGUCUAAGGGACAUUUGAUUCCCUAAUCUUCAACUUAUGGUAGCCAGAUCUCAAGUUAAUCUUGGAAAACAUCUUGGCACCCUGAAGCUGAUCAAAUAAGUCAUCAAUCCUCGGCAAGGGAUAUUUGUUCUUGAUAGUGACUUUGUUUAACUGCCGAUAGUCUAUACACAUGCUCAUCGUUCCAUCCUUCUUCUUCUCCUUUACAAACAAUACUGGUGCACCCCAAGGCGAGACACUCGGUCUAAUAAAUCCCUUAUCAAGCAAAUCCUGCAACUGCUCCUUCAAUUCCUUCAACUCAAUUGAGGUCAUACGAUAUGGUGCGGUUGAAAAGGGCUGAGUGCCUGAAACCAAGUCAAUGCAGAAGUUGAUAUCUCUAUCGAGUGGCAUCCCCGACAAAUCUGUAGGAAACACCUCUGGAAACCCACACACAACUAGUACUGAAUACAUGGAAGUAACCUCCAUACUAGGAUCACAGAUAAGGCCAAAUAAGCUAGACAUCCCUUCUCGACCAAACGCCGAGCCUUCACAUAAGAAAUGACCCUACUAGUAGAAUGGCCAGGAGUCCUUCUCCACUCUAAUUGAGGCAACCCCGGUGUGGCUAAUGUCACAGUCUUGGCAUGACAGUCCAAAAUAGCGUGAUAAGGUGAUAGUCAAUACAUGCCUACAAAAUUCACCAUAUCAAGAAGUAGAAGGUCUACCCUAGUCUCACAGCUCCCGAUAGUAACCAAACAAACACGAUAUACCCGGUCUACCAUAAUAGAAUCUCUGACAGGCAUAGACACAUAAAUAUGAGUAUUCAAAGAAUCAUGAGACAUAUCCAGAUAUGAAAUAAAAUAUGAUGACACAUAUGAAUAAGUGAAACCCGGAUCAAAUAGAACUAAUGCAUCUCUAUGGAAAAUUGGAAUAAUACCUGUGAUGACCGCAUCCGACGACUCUGCCUCGGGUCUAGCUGGGAAUGCAUAAAAAUGGGGCUGAGCCCUACCACUCUGACCUCCGCCUAUCAGACGGCCUCUAAUUGGCUGGCCUCCAUCUCUAAUGCCCUAAUCACCACCUCUAGUUGUCAGAUCCCCGCCCUAGCUAGCUGUGCGGGCGGUGGAGCAAUCGGUGCCGGAAUCAUGGCACGGGUACCCUGAUGUGGUCUGCUGCUCAUCAAUCUAGGACAGUAACUCCUGAUGUGAUUUGCGUCGCCACACUCAAAGCAACCCAACAGCUGGCCUAACUGCUGAGUCUGAGAUGAUCCCUGAUGACCCGAACGACCACUGUAGUAACUCUGUAGUGGUGGUUUACUGAUAGGAUCUGAAGGUGUACUAUAUACUGGCUGCUCAGGACGAGACCCAUAAGAGACCAUGACUGCUCGAAGCACCGUGUGCUACCUGAAGCACUAACCGAAUCCGUCUUUGAGGAUAGCCUCUGGCAAAUGAACCUCUACCUCCAGAUGAGGCACCACUGAAACCACCAAAAUGACGAGGCCUCUUCUCAGAUACCGCCUCUCUACCGUGACCACGAAUUCUCUCGAUCCGUCUGGCAAUCUCUACAGUUCAUUAGAAAGAAAUAUCAUCCCUAGCCUCCUUGGUCAUAUGUAGCAUGAUAGCAAAAGUAAGGCCUUCUAUGAUCUCUUCAGCUCUCCUUAUCAGUAGGAAUCAAAAUAGUUGCAAGGCAAGAUAGGUCCACAAAUCUGGCCUCGUACUGGGUAACAGUCAUACCACCCUAUUGUAGACGCUCAAACUGGUUGUGGUACCCCUCUCUCAGAGUAAUAGGAAUGAACUUCUCCAAAAAUAGCUGUGAGAAAUGAUCCUAAAUAAGUGGAGGAUAACUUGAUGGUCUGGCUCGAACAUAAUCUUGUCACCAUCUCCUUAGAGAGCCGGUCAUCUGGAACACUGCAAAGUCGACUCUAUUGGACUCCAAAAUACCCAUGUUGCACAACACCUCGUGGAAACAGUCCAAAUAAUCAUGUGGUUCCUCAGAAGGUAUACCACCAAAAUGAAUAGGAAAAAGCUUGGCAAACUUAUCCAGCUUCUUCAAUCCCUCAGAAGACAUCAUGGGCCUCUCCCCGGGUUGUGUAGGAAUAACGGGUUGAACCACUCCAACUGCUGGAACAGCCGGAGUUUGAUAUAGGGGAGCCAUCUGCUUCAGAGUUUAAUUGGUGGGAGUAUGAGCUCCCCUAGCCUGAGAGACAGCUGGUGCCAUAGGAAAUACUCUGGCUUGGGCCACACUCUCCAUAAGGCCCACUAAGCGGACUAGGGCAUCCUGAAGUACAGGAGUAGUAAUGAACCUUCCGGGGCCUGAGCGGGUUUGACUGGUGCGGUCUGAAUAGGGAUCUCCUCCUCAUGCUCAAUCUGAAGCUCCACAAUGGAUGUUGCUGCACGUAGGCUAAGCUCUGCCUCUGCCUCGGCCCCUACCUCAGCCCUGGCCCCGGCUCCUAUCAUGGUCCUGGCCCCGGCCCCUACCCUGGUAGUGGCUACAACAGGGGACUCUGGCUCCUGCCCGACUGUGGAUGUUGUGAGAGUUCUCACCAUCUGCGAGAGAACAAGAAUGGAAUGUUCAAACUUCAGUAAUAGAAUAAAGUCGUACGAUAGGGAAUUAAAUAAAUGAAUUUUUCUUAAAGCUCUAUAGCCUCUAGAAUAUAAGUACAUACGUCUCCCUACCGAUCCUCCAGACACUACUAAGCUUGCUCAUGACUCGUGAGUCCUAGGCAACCUAGUACUGUGAUACCAACUUGUCACGACCCAAAAUUCCAACAUCGGGGUCGUGAUGGCGCCUGACACCUACUUUCUAGGCAAGCCAACGUUAGGUAACUGAUUGUCCAUUUUUAGAAUUUAAAACAGCAUAACAGUAAUAAUUAAUGAACAACAAAACUGAAUUACAUAAGAUAAAUUCAUAUCAUAACAUGGUCUAGUCUAUUCCCAGAAAUCUGGUGUCACCAGUAUAUGAGCAUACUAGAAUACUGCAAAUAAAGUCUGAAUGAAUACAACUGUUUGAAAUAAGAUAAAUAGUAAGGACAUAACAGGAGGGGACUUCAGGGGCUGUGAACGCCAAUAGCUCUACCUCAAGUAUCAUGCUGCAAGUUGAUCCGGGCAUGAACUUCUCUACACGCCACUCGGAUCAACAUCGAUAUCUGCACAAAAAGUGCAGAAGUGUAGUAUAAGUACAACCGAUCCCAUGUACUCUAUAAGUGUCGAGCCUAACCUCGACGAAGUAGUGACGAGGCUAUCACAUGACAUUCACAAUAAACAUGUACGAAUAAUAAUAAUAAUAAUAGAAUACAGAAAUAUAGAUAAAGCAGUAAACUCAAAUAAACGGACCCGAAGGUCAACUACCAGAGGGCCCCAGAAUAACAUAAUCUCAAAUCUCAUAUCACAAUACCGAGUAUAAACUCUACAGCCACAAACAACUACAACAUAUCAAAUAUGUUGCGGCAUGCAACCCGAUCCCAAGUUUUAACACAAUAUCUUUUACUGCAUACGACUCAUUUCCAAUAUCAUAUCAUAUAAUUUCAUGUUGCGACGUGCAACCUGAUCCCCAAUAUCGAUUCAUUUCAGUACCGUUGCGGUACACAACGUGAUCCCCCAAUAUAAAUUUAUCAACAUAAAUAACUCAGCACCACUAUUUAUAAAAUAUCAAAACAAAAGAGAAAUGAAACAUGCGGAACAAUAUGGAACUACCAGUGCAAACGGAGAAUAGCCAAUACUUCAUAAUCUCCAAACCUUGGCAAAUAUUAAUACCGAAAUAGCUAAUGUCUCACGUAAUAAAAAUAGCAUAAUAUAGUGCAUCAAGUAAUAUAAGGACAAUAAAAGCAAGUAAAAACAUAUGAGAAUGAGAAUAUACAUAUAGGCAAGUAGGAACAUGUAGCAGAAAAGCAUAUAUUGAGUGAGAAAUGAACAAAUUAAAACAAGUAACAAUUAAAAAGUAAAGCAUAAAUAUCAAGUAAGAACGUAACAAUUAAAGCAUUUAACAAGAGAUAACAUGGAAUACAUGAAGACAUGGAAGUAAAUAGCCCAAUCCUGCAAUGCUUUACUCCCAUGACGGCGCAUAUACACUCGUCACCUCGCAUAUAUGCCGUUUUUCCACAUAAUCCACAUAACAAAUAGUCCAUCAAGUCCUAAUUCCCUCAAGUAAAGGUUAGACACAACACACAACACUUACCUCAUUCCGCAACCAAAUCAAUCAACCAACCACUGCCUUGCCUUUCAAAAAAAACCUCCAAACCAACUGAAUCUAGCCAAUUAUCGAUCAAACAAUUCAAAAUAUGCUUUAGAAACUACCCAUGAAUAAAAAAAGGUUCAAUCUUUGAUAAAUUUGAAAAAGUCAAUAAAAGUCAACCCCGGGCUCGCUUGGUCAAAAUUCGAGAUCCGGACCAAAAUUCGAUUACCCAUUCACCCUCAGCCGUUUAUAUGAUUUGUUUUGAAAUCCGACCUCAAUUUGAGGUCUAAAUCUUAAGUUUGUAAAAUUCCCAAAUUCUACCCAAAUCCCUAAUUUCUACCAUGAAAAUCUUUGAAUUUAUGUUAAAAACUCAUGAAAAGUAAUGGGAAAUUGAAAUAAAAUGGAUUAGAGUUGCUUACCAAUGAAUUUGGGAAGAAGAAAUUCUUGAAAAAUCACCUCUAGAGUGUUUAGGGUUGAGAAAUGGUGUAAAAUAACCGAAGUCCCAUUUUUCCCUUUUUUACCCAGCACCUCAGAUGUAGCAAAUGCAACAAAAUGUUUGCAUUUGCGAACCACUACCCAAUCGCAAAUGCGGAACCUCCUUCGCAUUUGCGAAGACUUAUAGCCCAAGGGCUGAGCCGCAAAAGUGAUAGAUUUAUCGCAAAAGUGGAGACUCAGGAUCACAUUUGCGAAGAGUACCAACCCUGGCCCAUAAUCGCAUUUGCGACUCCAACUUCGCUAAAGUGGGACUCGCAAUUGCGAACAGGUUCUCUCAAUUGUGAGACCUACAAUCAGGCACUGGCAACUGCUAGACACAAGCAGUCUUCAAACCACCUCAACUCAUCCAUAGCACCUGUGAAACUCACUGAGCCCCUCGGGCUCCAAACCAAACAUGCACACAUGUGUAAUAACAACAUAUAAACUUUCUCUCUACCUCAAAUCAUCAAACUAACAUCAAAUAACAACAAUCUAUCAUCAAAACUCAUGAUUUUCAACUUGAAAGUUCAUUUUCACAAUUUUUCACAUAUCGCGCCGAAAUACGCUCAGGUCUCCCCGGACCCCAACCAAAAGUGUGUACAAGUCCAAAAAUAUUAUACGAACGUACCAGAAUUUGUCAAAACACCGAUCCGAGGUCAUUUACCAAGAAUGUUGAUCGUGGUCAACUCAAUUUCCAUUUUAAGCCAAAAUUUACUUUUCCUUCAAAGUUUUAUGUAAAAACUUUUUGGAAAAAGACACAGACCACACACGCAAAUCAAAAAACAUAAAAUAAAGCUAAUAGAGGUCUUAAAACUCAGAAAUAAAGGCUAGCACUCAAAACGACCUAUUGGAUCGUCACAACCUUGAAGUCUCCAACCGCACAGGCACAACUCUCAAAACCAACACGGUCCAAAGUAACUGGAUCUGCACAAAAAUAUGCAGAAGCAUAGUAUGAGUACAACACAAUGGUACCCAAUAAGUAUCAAGACUAACCUCGGUGGAGUAGUGAUGAGGUUAGUCAAGACAUUCACUAGACACAAAACCUGUGUAAGAUAUUAACAUAAAGCUAACAAUAGAAAGAACAUCAAUAUAAAUCUAACAACGGAAAGAUUAUUAAUAUAAAACUAACAAUGGAAUAAUAGAAACAACAAAUGGCAACAAGAAGUAAGCAGAUAAUAAAGCAGCAAAAUAAUCAAAACACAGUUAAAGUAUGAAUGAAAUGAAUUAAGGGAACAAAUUACAAUUCAAGUAAUCAAGUCGUUCCAACGCAUGAUUUACAACAAGAAUUACCCAGUGGCACCACACCUUAUAAUCACAAAUCAUAAGCCACAAUCACAAAUCUUACACACAUGGCAUCUCGUACCCACAUUAUCAAUUACCUUCGCAUGGAAAAUAUCAUGUGCCGCAACAUAAGUCUCACCCGCACAGCAAAUUCCACGUGCCACCACGUAUAUCGUAUCUGUGUCAAUUGCCAAUAAAAUAUUCGAAGGAUUCAUUUAAAUAAAGUAAGUCAUAAUGACAAUUUAAAUAAAGUAAGCGUCAAAUGAGUUAAUGAGUUUAUUUUAGGAAUUAAAUAAAGUAAAUAAAAUGCAAUUUAUACAAAGUAAAGCAUCAAAUGUGAUGAUAAGUUUGGUUUAAGAAUCAAAUAAGGUAAGGUAAAAUAACAAGUUAAAUAAAGUAAAGCAUAAAAUAAGACAACGAGUUCAAUUUAAGAAUCAGUUAAAGUAAAGCGUGAUAACAAUUUUAAAUAAAGUAAAGCAUCAAAUAAGAUAGUGAAUUUAAUUUGAGAAUCAAUUAAAGAAAAGUAUGAUAACAAUUUAAACAGAGUAAAGCACCAAGUGAGAUAAUGAGUUUAUCUUAAGAGUCAAAUAAAGUAAAGCAUGAUAAUAAUUUCUUUAUUUAAAAUCGUUAUGUUACCAACAACUCAAUAGAAUAUGAGAUAAUGACUCCACGCAAGUAAAUUCAUCUUGACAGCCAAUUCACCAAGUAACAACGGAGGACAUAUUAUCACAUUAAAGCAAUACAACAAAUCACAUAAAAUGCAUAGCUCACAUAAGAAGUCACAAUCGUUCCAAUACAAAAAUAACAACAAGAGUCACCCCGAGGUACUAUAUCUCAUUAUCACAAAUCUUUCUUAUAUCGCAGUGUGAGCCUUGCAUUUAUUUUAAAAAUAUUAUUUUUUCGAAAUAGCUUCAUGCGCUUUAGCCCCUUUAUCUCGCCACGUGUGCUUCAAAUGAAGUAAUUACCAUUACUAGUAACACGCGCAUAAAUCCCCUUUGUCUUACCGCAUGCGCCUCAAUAUCACCACCCUUAUACCAUCACAUGAGCAUCUCAUCACAACACAAUAAUCAACUCACACCACACAUGUCCAUAUGCCACAACAUUUCCACAACAACAAUACCAAUGCUACAAUAUUUCUCAAACAGCAAUACUAAUGCCAUAAUAUUUCUCAAACUACAAUACCAAUGCCACAAAAAACUCAUAUCCCACAGCUCAACAAUAAGGUCUAAAAGAGUCUCAACGACAACACAAAGAAACGGAUGAACCUGCGGACUCGCUCUCUAACUGUAGAAAUCAAGGCAGGUGCAUGUCGGGACAACUCACUGAAUCUAAUUGCAUACUCUGACACUGACAUAGUCCCCUAACGCGGCUGCUCAAACUUCGUGAGCCAUGCAUCAUGAAGGGUCUGGGGAACAAACUCUCUCAAAAACAUCUCUGAAAACUGAGCCUAAGUGAGUGGGACUGCAUCGGUUGGUCUACUUUACUCGUUAGCUUGCCACCACUGAUAUGCUACUCCUGACAACUGAAAUGUAGUAAAAGCAACUUCGCUCACCUUCACAAUACCCAUCGUGUGGAGAAUACGGCGGCACUUCUCUAGAAAACCCUGCGCAUCCUCGGUAGUUGUGCCGCUAAAAGUAGGAGGAUCAUACUUCUUGAACCUCUCAAGUCUCCUCUUCAAAACUUUGACAAAAUCCCCAAUUUUUCUCUUUGAUUCUCAUAAAUAUGAUGUUAAAUCUAAGAUAUAAUCAUGAAAUAUAAGUUGGAAAUUGAUUAAAAUCACUUACCUAAUAUUUGUAGAUGAAAAUCUCCUCUCCAAAUCACCUCCUACUGAUUCUAAGGCUCUAAAAUAUGAAAAAUGAGACUUAAUAUUGACUUUCCAGUCCUUAUGUUCAGUUGCAAAUGUCGCAAUUGCGACACUGGAUUCGCAAUUGCGAAUAAAACCUCUCAAAUAUGGCUACUAACAUCCUAAGCAAAAUUUCGCAAAUGCGAUAAUGGAUUUGCAAUUACGAACCAUGUUCCCAUUGCAAAUGCGACAAAUCAUAUCGAAAUUACAAUUCUACCCAAAUCUGCCUAUGUUGGCAAUUGCGAGUGAGGCAUCGCAAAUGCUGUAACGACCCGAUCGGUCGUUUUGAGCAUUUGCAUUUUAUCGGUAGUUUGAGGGCAUGAGUAGCUCCGUAUGAUGUAUUAUGACUUAUGUAAAUCGUCGGUUUUUGUUUUCAGGUUAUUCAGAAUCGAUUUGGAAGAAUGAAUUUCAUGAUUUAAGCUUUAAGUUGGAAGAGUUGACCAAGUUUGACUUUUGUGAAUUUGACCUUGGAACUAAGUUUUGAGGGCUCCGUUAGGUCCGGAUGGUAUUUUAGACUUGGGCGUAUGUCCGAAUUUGCAUUUGGAUAUUUCUAUAAGGAUUCAGCGCUAAUUGGCGAAAGUUGGAAAUUUGAAGGUUUGGAAAGUUCAUAUGUUUGAUCGGGAGUUGACUUUGUGGAUAUCGAAUUCGGAUUGUGGUUCUGGGAAUUGGAAUAGCUUCGUUAUGUUAUUUGGGACUUGUGUGCAGAAUUUGAGUUCAUUCCGAUUUGAUUUGAUAUGUUUCGGCGCGAGUGUUGGAAGUUGAAAGAUUUAAAGUUCAUUAAGUUUUAAUUGAGGUGCGAUUCAUUGUUUCAAUGUUGUUAUGUGUGAUUGGAGGCCUCGAGUUGGUCCGUGUAAUGUCAUGAAACAUGUUGGUAUAUUCGGACGGGGUCCCAAGAGGCUCGGGUAAGUUUCGGACGAGGUUCGGAUAAGUUUUGGACUAAGUUGAAUUUUGGCUGGGCUGCUGGUUCUGGUGUUCCGCACCUGCGGCUGGUAUUGCACAGGUGCAAUGGUCGCAGAAGUGAGCCCAUGAGUGCAGUGGUGAAGAGCACUGCUGGGCAGGAGUCCGCAUAUGUGUAGCUUGCGUCGCAUCUGCGAAGGUGCAGAUGCAGACACUUCAUCGCAGGAGCGAAAUUGGACUGUUGGCAAGGGAUCGCAGAUGCAGGCAUGUUUGCGCCGAAGUGCAACCACAGAAGCGGGAAAAAGAUCACAGAAGCUAUGGCAACUGAGUUUGGGCAUGUUCGCAGAAGCGAAAUCUAGGCCGCAUGUGCGAGUCCGCCGAAGCGAAAAUUGGUUCGCAAAUGCGAAAUUGCUGGGCAGAUUCUAUAUAUUUCGAGGUUUUAGUUCUUUUAUCAUAUUUUGAGAUUGGGUGCUCUGAUUGAGGCGAUUCUUGAACCAAUUUUCACCAUGUGACUUGGGGGUAAGCAUUUUUGACUCACUCAUGAUUUUAUUUCAUGAUUCUAUCUUCAUUUUUGGUAAUUGAAUUAUGAAUUAUAAAGAGAAAUUGGGAGUUUUAGCCUAAAGUUUCAUAGAGUGAGUUUUUGAGUUUUGAACAUCGAUUCGGAGUCGGAUUUGAGUGAAACUAGUAUGGUUGGACUCGUAAUUGAAUGGGUUGUCUGAUUUUAUAAGUUUCUUCGAGUUCCGAGGUGCGGGCCCGUAUCGGACUUUUGGGUUGAUUUUGGGCUUUGAUUAAAGAUUCGACCUUUUUCAACUGAGUUCGUUUUCUUUGGCUUUAUUUGAUGUAUUUGAGUUGCUUUUGGCUAGUUUCGAUCCAUUCGCAGGUUGGUACGCGCAGGAUGGCAUUUUUGGAGCAUCGGUUGGCUUGCUCGAUAUUUGAUUUGGCUUGUUCAAGGUAAGUAACACUUCUAAACUUGGUGCUGAGGGUAUGAACCCCUGAAUAUACGUUAUAUGUGUUUGGUGUUGAGGCGGAGCACAUGCUAGGUGAAGGGCAUGUGGGCACGCACCGUAUGAAUUGUGACUUGGUUAUUUUUGUGGUACUGUGUAGUUCCCUAAUCUUAUUUGUAUCUAUGAAAUCUCUACGUGCUAGAGUAAUUGAGUUGUGAUCAAUGUUAGAAACUAUGUCUAGGAUAUAUGUUUAUCCUGUUGGGACCCACUGAGAUCAUUUCUGUUGUUGAGUUAUUUGCUUACAUUGCAAUUACAUACUCAGUCAUACGCAAUCAUUUGCCUAUCAUAUCUGAGUCUCUGUUACCAUUUAUUGAUACAUCACAUCAUCAUUUUGGGAUGAUUCUUCAUGAUAUUGUGAGCCCGAGAGACUGGAGAGGUUGAUGACUGAGUGAGGCCAAGGGCCUGAUGGUGAGGAUAUUGAUGUGAUCAUGUUGCACGCCGCAUCAGGUAUUAUUGAUUUAUGAUGGGAUCGGGCUACACACCACAACAUAUUUUAUUGAUUUAUGCCAUGAUUGGCUUGUUAUAGCGCUUGGGCUAAAGGAGCCCCUCUAGAGUCUGUACACACCCCCAGUGAGCGCAUGUACCUACUGAGUGCGACUGUCGAGUGAUUGGAAGGACUGAGUGACUGUGAGGACUGAGUGACUGUGAGAACUGAGUGACUGGGAGGGCUGAGUGAAUUGAUACUCUGAGAGUAUGCAUAUGGUUUUAUCACUGAGCUGCAUUACAUUCGACAUGCACACUUGACAUACAGGCAUAGAGAUACAUUUUUCUCAUGUUGUACGACAUUGUGUCAUUCAUGACUUCACAUACACAUUGACAUGUAGGCAUAGAGAUGUACUUUCCUCAUGCCAUUUGAAAAUGAAAUAUUUACCUGUUGAAAGUUUUGGAAAAAAUUACAGUUUUACAAACCACUCAUAGUUUGGUGAUUUCGGUAAAAGAUUUGGGGUUUCGCUGACAUACUUGAAAAGCAUGCCUAUUUUCCGGAACUGUGAACGAGCUGAGCACUAUAUCUCUGAGUUAUUUUAUUUUUUUAACUUUUAUUAUGUGUUAUGAAUUGUUGUUGGCUAUUGAUGUUGGACUCCGACCUUUGUUCCAGCUCGUCACUACUUUCAACCUAAGGUUAGGUUUGUUACUUAUUGAGUAUAUGGGGUCGGUUGUACUCAUACUACACUUCUGCACCUUGCGUGCAGAUGUUGGAUGUUGAUGUUGUUGUGCACGGCGGGAGCUGAAUUUGAAGUUGUACCUGCGUUCCGGUCAUAGCUGCCUCUUGAUCUUAGUAGAUUUAGAAUUUAAAUCUAUUCAUGUAAAUUUCAAACAGAUGAUGUACUUUAUUUCAUACCACCUUUGUAAAUUCUAAAUCUUAGAAGCUCAUGAUUUGUACUAUCAGUCCUUGGGAAUUCUUGUAUAAAAGCAGUUUAUUAUCAUAUUUUCUCUUAAUAAAUCUCAUUUAAAUUGGAUAGUUGUUAAUUGGCUUAUCUGACGGGUUAGGUUAGGUGUCAUCACGACUAGGUGGAUUUUGGGUCGUGACAAUUGCGAUACAUGACACUUACCUGCUCACUUCGCAAUUGCAAGGCUGGUGCUCGCAAUUGCGACAUCAAAGACACCACUACCCCAGCAACCUGUUUUCAGUCCAAACAUUUUCGAAACACGUCUGAAACUCAUCCAAUCCCUUGGGGCUCCAAAUCAAACAUCCACAUAAGUCUAAGAAUAUCAUACUAACUCGUUCGCUUGAUCAAAACAUAAAAGUAAUAUCUAGAACUACAAAUCAUACAUCAAAAGGCAUGAAUUUCAAAGAAAAGUUCAAGAGCCUCUAGAAUUGCAACCAAGUGUCUAAAUCCUAUCAAAUCAACUCCAAAAGAUACCAAAUUUGCAGAAAAGUUCUAAAUAGCAUAACGGACCUAUUCCAAGUCCCAAAAUCAAAUUUUGAAUUCGAUAGACAAAAGUCAACCUACGGUCAAACUUGGGAAUUCUUCUAAACCUCAAAUUGCCAACUUUCGGUUAAAUAACACAAUUCAACCUACGGAUCUUCAAAUUCAAUUCUGGGCAUACGCCUAAGUCUAAAAUCACGAUACGAAUCUAUCGGAGCCAUCAAAAUACCAAUCCGGGAUCAUUUUUAACUUAAGCUUCUAAACCAAGAGGCAAAUGGUCCAAAUCAACCCAAAACCUUUUCGAAACGAAACUAACCAACCCCGCAAGUCAUAAAACUACAAAUACACAGGUGUAAAGCAUUAAAAGGGGAAAUAUGUACAAAUACACAAAAUCAUCGGUAGAGUCGUUACAACCCAGCUGCAUACAUCGCAUUUCCGAACACUUGUUCGUAAUGCGAUGUCCGUAAAUGCGACACACUAGUCGCAAAUGCGAUCAGUGUAUCAUAUGCAUAGAAGUCGCAAAUGCGACAAAAAUAUUGCAUUUGCGAGUCACCCCUUUAUCACAAAUGCAGUCAAAGGUUCGCAUUUGCGAACCUGCCUAAGUCUAGUGCCCAGUCGCAAAAGCGACCAACCUAUCGCAAAAGCGAUUCUGGCAUAUCUACAAUUGCGAAUAUUUAUUUGUAAAUGCAAAGUUUUCCCUGCCCUGACAAUUAUCGCAAAUGCGAGCUCGACUUCGUAAAAGUGGAGUUCGCAUUUGCGAACAGGUCCUCGCAAAUGCGAGACCUGCAAUUCAACACCAGAAACUGAAACACACCAGCUAUCUGAAUCAAUCCGCAACGUCUACAAAACUCACCUGAGCCCCUCGAGCUCCAAACCAAACAUGCACACAAGUGUAAUAACAUCAUACAAACUUGAUAUCUACCUCAAAUCAUCAAAAUAACAUCAAUUACCAAGAAUCAAUCCUCAAAAAUCAAGAUUUCAAUUUUAAACUAAAUUUUCAUAAUUUGUUCACAUAAUGCGCUGAAAUGCGCUCAGGUCACCAUGUACCCCAAAUGAGCAUGCGUACAAGUCCAAAAAUAUCAUACGAACCUACUGGAAUUGUCAAAAUACCGAUCCGAGGUCGUUUACCAAGAAUGUUGACUGUGGUCAACUCUAACCUUAUUUUAACUCAAAAAUCAUAUUUUCUUUAAACUUUUACAUAAAUACUUUCCGAAAAACUAUAAGGACUACGCACACAAAUCAAGGAACAUCAAAUGAAGUUAUGGGAGAUCUCGGAACACUAAAUUUAAGGUUAGUACUCAAAAUGACCUAUCGGAUCGUUACAACGAAAAAACAUUGCUCUGUAGGGUACGACUCUUAAUGUUACUAAUUCUGAAGUUGAUAUGUAAAUCUGAUAUUUUUGAUAGUUUUUUAUUUAAAUAUUGUUGUCAGUAAUGCUUGUGUUUAGCAUCUCGGGUUGAUGGUGUUGGUCGAGCGGAUGUUGGUGGCAGUGAUGUCAAUUUGCCUUCUGGUAACAUCUGCUAUAUAUAACUUUUCUUUCUUUUUUUUAUUUGUUAAUUUUUUAUAUUUGUUCAUUCACUAAUAUUUUGUAAUUUAAGCUUCUUGUCGACAUGAGAGUGAUCUUGGCUUGGAUUCUGAUUUUGAAUAUACUGACUCUCAACUUGAUCUAAUUGUUGCCAUUACACAAGGAAGAAGAUAUAAUGUAAAUGAAUCUGGAAAUGAACUGACAACUCGUGAUGUUAAAAAGUCUAAACAUGCUCCAUCGGUAUCAAGAACUGUUGUCCAAACACAAACAGAUGUUGAAAAAACUCAUGUAGUAUUCACACAAAAAAGGUGCCUGCAGUUGUAAAACAAUCGCCAUUUAGGAAUGACUCGCAAUCCGGUGCUAGUGUGUUGGAGGAUCAUCAAAGGUUAUCAAAGGAAAAUUUCUAUUUGUAAAUGACAUUUCAGUGCCUAUUGAUUUUAAGCUUACGACUGCAUUCUCAAACUUUAUUGAAGCAGAAAUGCAAUUGGGAGAGUGCGUUUAUGUUUCCAUGUACUUUUAUUUUUAGGUUUUCUUAAUUUUUGAUGAUGUGUUGCUUAUCCAUAUCUUCUUCUAUAUGAAAUAGGGAAGUGUAUUUACCUGAUGCUAGGAAUCUGGACCCCUAUUUUGACUUUAAAGUUUUUUUUUCCAGCAAAUCCACUAGGCAAGGUGUCNNNNNNNNNNNNNNNNNNNNNNNNNNNNNNNNNNNNNNNNNNNNNNNNNNNNNNNNNNNNNNNNNNNNNNNNNNNNNNNNNNNNNNNNNNNNNNNNNNNNNNNNNNNNNNNNNNNNNNNNNNNNNNNNNNNNNNNNNNNNNNNNNNNNNNNNNNNNNNNNNNNNNNNNNNNNNNNNNNNNNNNNNNNNNNNNNNNNNNNNNNNNNNNNNNNNNNNNNNNNNNNNNNNNNNNNNNNNNNNNNNNNNNNNNNNNNNNNNNNNNNNNNNNNNNNNNNNNNNNNNNNNNNNNNNNNNNNNNNNNNNNNNNNNNNNNNNNNNNNNNNNNNNNNNNNNNNNNNNNNNNNNNNNNNNNNNNNNNNNNNNNNNNNNNNNNNNNNNNNNNNNNNNNNNNNNNNNNNNNNNNNNNNNNNNNNNNNNNNNNNNNNNNNNNNNNNNNNNNNNNNNNNNNNNNNNNNNNNNNNNNNNNNNNNNNNNNNNNNNNNNNNNNNNNNNNNNNNNNNNNNNNNNNNNNNNNNNNNNNNNNNNNNNNNNNNNNNNNNNNNNNNNNNNNNNNNNNNNNNNNAAAAAUAUGAUAUCCAAAGUUGGUAGUACAAAUUGAUCUAAUGAUUAACCUCGACUGUGAAAUAGCAAAGUUGUAGAAACCAUAAAUUAAAACUAGCCUAAUGGUUAUAAAAUUCAGUGCAAUCCAGUUCUUCUUAAGUUUGUAAGUUGUCCAAAGAUCCACGAUGAUCAUCAUUGUCCAUAGUAGACGAUGUGCGGUCCUUACCUUGUCUGCUUUGUUUAUUUUCCUAUUUAUCCUUUCUUCUUUGAUGCACAGUAGGACUUGCAUUCUUCGAGUGGAUCUCCUUACUGCUUUAGCAUGCCAAUUCCAUGUAUUAUCAACAUUUGCUGGGCCUCUUUUCUUCAUUGUUUCGUUGAUGUAUCGACCUACACUCCGUAUCACAACACUUGAGACCCUCACAUAGUAUUUGGAUGUACUACAUGAGGAGUGUUUUGAUGGAUGAGUGUACCCAAAUUGAAACAACUAGAUUUCUAGAUAUCCCAGUAUACUCCUAGCUUCAUGCUUGUGCUUAUCAUUGACAUUCUUUCUAGGGAAAGAGCACAUAGUGCUAAUACCACCCAUUGAAGUUGUGUCAAAUGAUAAGACAUGAGUACAGUAGCUUUCCCUGCAAAAAAGAACACAUUGUUAGUGAAAAAAAAGGAACACCAAGUUCUCCUCCAUAAGGAUUUGAACUGGAUGAUCGUGAAUGUUGUCUCCCUCUCCAGAAAGUUGAUAAAAUAUCGUUGUGGUUAUUUCAACAUUGUCCUCCCUCCAUCGAUCAUCCUCCAGUCCUCCUAUUAAGAAUUCCUUGCGACCCUUACCCUUAGAUAUGGACAUUGCAAUUUAUCACUAUUCACAAUUCUUCUUCCUUGAGUGUCCAAACCGCCAAAUCCAUGAGCCUCCAUAUGACCAAAGUCUAGUCCAUAGUUAGCUAAGUGGUCCGCUAGCUUAUUCCCUUCUCUCAUAAUAUGUGAGACCUUCACUUCACAAGUAGCCAUUAGUACAUUAAUGUCUUCAACAUAUCCUAUCAGAUUCCAUGGACAAGUCCACCUUCCCUUCAUCACAUUCUUGAGUAACAUAGAGUCUGUUUGCAACUCAAUAUGUGUAUAGCUAUUAGCUACACAAUAUCGUAACGCCUCCAGAAUCGCUAUUGCUUCUGCCAUUGUGUUGGUAUUCUCCUGUAUCUCCCUACCAUAUGUGAAAACUACAUCACCUUCUUCAUUUCUCAAGACGAAGCCUAUUGCACUCCUCCCAGGAUUCCCCCUCGAUGCACAAGGUAGUUCCUAUAUCACCUUGGUAACCUUCAGUUUUGGAGUAUAAACCUCCAUCAUGUUAAGCAAAUCAGGCCAUUUAUGUGGCACUAUCGACUGAUGAAAUGAUAAAUUCUCCAAAGAUAUACCUGCACAUGAUAGAAAAUAAUUCCAUACCCUCUUAGUUGUAUAUGAUGAGAAGAACACAUGAGACAUUGUUUCUUCCUUCGGGUUCAAGCAACACCAACACCUCGAAGCCAUUAAGUACCCUAACCUCCUCAAGAAGUCAUCAAGAGGUAUUUUAUUUUUCCACACCUUCCACAUAAAGAAUGCUAUCUUAAAUGGUAAACCUUUUACCCAAAUCAUCUUGUAAGCAUUGUAAAGUUCUUUUCUCCUUCUCAACUAUCCCCAGGCAAAUUUUACAGUGAAGUUUCCUCUUGGUUCAAGCAUCCAGAAUGGUUGAUCGAGCAUAUUACAAGCUACUGCAGGUUUUAUAUUUUCCAGAAUGUGGUUAGCAAAGUCUUCAGGCAUCAACUCCCUAAUUUUAUCAACAUCCCAGCCAUCCUCUAACACAACUUCAUUAAUAUUUUGUACUGAUUCAUCACAGAAAAAAUCUGGAGGCGUGCUAAAAUAUAAGGCUCCUAAUCCUGUCCAAUUUUCAAACAAAAACAAAGAUGAUCCCAUUUUUGGAUGCCAUAAUAUUUGGUGCUCAUUAAGGUCUCUACAUUCCAGCAUUUUUUGCCACACAUGUGAUCCAUAUCUCCAGGGAACUACCAUUGCGUUCAUCUUUUUACAAUACUUUUGGCUUAUGAAAGAACUCCAAAGUGUAGACUUAGUUCUAAAAUUCCACCAAAGCUUACAGAAUAAAGCUUUCAAAACAUCAUGCAGUGAUCUAAAACCCACCCCUCCUUCUUCAUAAGGCAAACAUAGAGUAUCCCAAGAAGCCCAAUGCCUCUUCCUUCCAUCAGUGGAGUUGCUCCAGUAAAAGCUAGCAAAGAGCUUGUGCAACUUAUUGAUCACAAAGGCUGGCGGAUUCACUACCAAAAGUAGGUGAAUGGGCAUGCUUUGCAAAACAUGUGAUAUCAAUACUGCCCUACCUCCAAUGGACAAAAGCUUUCCCUUCCAAGAUUGUAAUUUAUCAAGGAUCUUAUUUAUAAGUCAUUGACAGUAAUCCAUCUUUCUUCUUGCAUAAAAAAUUGGACAUCCCAAAUAGGUGAAUGAAAAAUCUCCCCUCUCAAUUCCUGUAAUUCUUUCAACCAUCCUUACUAUACCUUCAUUAGUUAAGUGAUGCAUAUAUACUGUAGAUUUAGCUUUAUUUAUGAGCUGUUCACAAAAUUGUGCAUUGAAAAACUUUACUGCCUCAUGUGCCAUGGCUUCCUUCUCGUCAAUCCACACAUCAUCAUUGUUUUGUAUUCUUUUCAGUUGUAACCUCUUUCUUCUUCCAUUAACUUGCGCAUGAAAUAAUUUUGUAUUCCUAUCUCCAUCAUUGAACCAAGACAUUCCGGCCNNNNNNNNNNNNNNNNNAACCAAGGUACGAUCAUGUCUUGAGCAAGUGCAUUGAGGGUAUCCCAUAGUUCAAUUCGUUCAAUUGAGUUACCUUUAGCAUACACUAAUGUAAGAAUAAACUCCUUGUGUUCUUCAGUGACAAAAAGUUUGAAGUUAACUGCUGCUCCAUGUCAAGUAAUACUGUUAUAUCAAAUUUCUCGUCAAUAAAAACCCAAAUUUUAUUGGAAACAUUGUAAAUAGCCUGCGCAAAACCAAUCUGCCUCCUGUAUCUCUCUAGCUUCCUGGACUGCUGCAUUGGUUCCAUCAAUCCAAUGAACUCGAAAUGAUGUUGUCUAUGCAUUGUAAUAAGCCUUUCAAAGGUUCUCAUAGUAUUCACCGAUCUAAUAUUCCAUAUGAGAUCAUUCAUGAUUAAUUUAUGGAUUUAGAUAGUGUUCUCCUUGUUUGAACCCCCACUGUUGGUACAUUAGGGAUCUCCUUUGUGCGUUUUUUCUGCCUCUCCCCGUUGAUUUGCCUUUCUCAUUAUGCCUGGGUGACAAAUCUCCAUGUCUUGCCACAUUCCUGAAGUUCUGUGUAGUAGAUUCUUCAUCCAAGUCCCUUCAUUUACCUGGUUGAUUUUCCUCAUCUUCACUAUAAUGUUGUUGAGUUACCAUCUGAUUAGUAAUAGUUGUAGGAACAAGAUUUUUAUUGGCUUUCUCCUUCGAAGCUAUUGCAGUUGUGGAAACUGUACUAGCUGCAGUAACAGUGUUUUCAGCUUUUUCCUUGAUUCCAAGCUCCUUAAGAGGAGCAGGAUAUAAAUAUUUUUGUAUUCCAUCAUCAUCGUCCUUCAUUGGAGUGUCAUCAUUAGUACUCUUACGCUUUCCUCCUCCUUUGGUUCCACCAGGAUCAAUUAAUUCAAUGUUGUUUACAGUAAAGUUCACUGUAGGUGACUUAGGGUUCACUGUAGAUUCAUAUAAACCCUGACUAAGGAUAGGAUUCUGAUUUUGCUCCUUUACUAAUGAUGCUUCAAUUUGACCUUUUUCCUCAUUCCCUUUGACUAUAUUUUCAGCUGCUUCUUAAUUUUCCCCCUCACCAUUAACACUUUGUUCUUCAUCUCGUUGAUCUUAUACUUCAAUUUCCUCAUCAACAUCAUCAUAUUCUUUUUGGAAUUCACCCUCUUCUGAAUCCUCCUCUACUUGGUCACACCACAGCCUUCCUCUAGAAGAAGUGACACGCUCUUUUAAAAACUGUUGCUCAGCCAAUUCGUUUGUGUCUAAAGAUUGUGUUGGAAUUUCCUGGCACGAUUGGUUAGUUGUUACAUUGUUACCUCCAAAAGCACGACUAACCCAUUGAGCUGUGGAUUCCUUCCCCAUUGCUUGUUCUUUCUCCUUGUCAUUGGCCUUAAUAGCUGAAUUAUUUCCAUCUUUGACUGUCCCAAUCCCAGGUGAACUUGGUUUAUAAACAGGUGCUGUCAGAUUAAGUUUCUUCCUAGUAUCACUAGGAUUAGGUCUAGAGCUAUUGAGUACGUUGUUAUUUUCCACCACUGCCAACUGAUUAUCUUCAAAAUGUUCUUCCUCUUCAAUCACAUCCAAUGCUGCAAAUUUGUUGGCUACCUGAAUCUGUUGAGCCUGCACUCCAUCUACUGGAACAAUCUCCUUUCUAGUUUUCUCUUGAACUUCAUUCUGCUUAUUAAUAGUCUUCACACGAUUGUCUUUAAUCUCUUUCCAUUGUUCUCUUACAUUCCCCACAACUUUGCCACUUGUAAGAAUCAUCAAAGGUUGCUUGUCUUUGCCCUUGUUCUCGUCCUUGUUCUUCCUUGUUUGAUUAUCUUUCUCAGUUUCCUCCAACAACUCAGAAUGUAAUCUCCAACACGCUUCUUCAUUGUGUCCUUGCAAUUUACAUUCCUUGCAAUACUUAGGAAUAUAAUCAUAUUGAAUCCCUACCCAUUCAGUCCUCGUAGCUCCAAUAACUUCAUCUUCAAUGUCCAUACGCACCCUCUUAGGUAAUUUAGCUAACAAGUCAAUUUGUACCUUAACCCUAGCACAACUAGGUCUUGUUUUGUUAAUUGUAGCCAUGUCUAGGUGAAAAGGCGUGCCUACUGCAGCAGCUAAAGAAAAUAGGCACACUUUCACAAAGAAUGUAGGCAGCAAGUUGGGGAAUGAAAUCCACGCUAAAGCCAUAGUCGUCUCUUUGUCAAUCUUGAACUUAGAAUCAUAUAUUAAAGGCCUCAUUUGAUAUUGAUAUCCAUCUCUUGCCUUUAAAUAAUACGCUCCUCUUGACGAUAAAUUGAUGAAGUCUUCCAGAAGUGUCAAACGAAUUAAAACAUGUUUAUCCCUGAAUAAUCCAAUGUUACACUCACCUUUAAUACCAUAUUGUGGUGGUAUUAUUCUACGUAGCUCCUGCAAUUCCGGCCAUCCAUAAGAAAAUUUGCCUACCACAGCAUAUUGCAAACCUUCGAUCAAAUUCAUACGCUUCACUUCUAAUUCCGUCCACUUGAUGAGAGGUUGUCCAUGUAAAAACGUGAUCGGUUUGAUUGGUAUUGGUUCUCCAGACGCGACAGUAGGGUUUUUCUGCAUGGGUGUAUUUAAUGAGGUAGGCUUCAAGAUAUUUGAGUAAUCUAGGACAAUUUUUUGUGUUUGGGUUAUUGUUCUGGGGCUGGGUACUCGUUGUAGGAGGCUGACCAACCUCUCUUGGGGCUAUCUCUGCAGCCUGCCUGGCUCUUAGUUUGGUAGCUAGGGAUUGUGUGAUAGUAGGGGGUGGUGGAGCAGGGUAGUUAGCUGGUUCUUUUGGUUGGGUAUUUGGUUUCUUUAGGAUGAUUGGGGACGUUAAGGGCUUGAGGGUUGGGUGGAGCAUCUGGUUUAGUGGUCUGAAGCUGGGCAUUUUUGCUAGAGGUUGCAGGUGGUUUAAAGGUAUGUAGGUACUUUGGUUUAUCAAAGUUGGCUGAGAUCUUUGGGUAUGUGGAUGCAGGUGGUGAAGUGGUGGUUUGAGUUUUUAUUUGAGCUGGUUGGGAGGCAUGAACAACAUGGCUAGACAUCUGUGGCAUAGGAGUUGCAGAACGGAUGCUUGGGGUCAUUUUAUGUUGAGGCUGAAGCCUCAACUCAUCAUAUUGAGGAGUGUGGGAGGGGAUUGCAUUUACCUCAUUAACAGGAGCCUUCUCUAUGUGCUCUUGUGCAAUUUGAACAGCUGCAUCAGUGAGGUCGACCACUUGGUUUCCUAUUGAAGAGGAUAGAGGUCGAGCAUCAUUUUUUGGCCUUGUGAUUGCAUUCCAAUUACCUGGGGGAGUUCAUGAUCAGUAGGAGGUUGGUUUCCAUGUGUUUGGUGCGCAAUUGACUGAGUGGAAUUGACUGGUGCAUUUGGUCGAACACCUGUAACAGUUACAGCAGCAGAAAUCAUUUUUUGUAAAGUUGUGGCAUUUGACCGAUUGAAUUCAUGUUGUGAUGGGUUAGGGAGAUUCUCUAUAGAAGCAGAAACACUUUGGCAUUGGUCUUGUUCCAUUUGGACAGCUGGUUCACCAUCUCCGACCAACUGAGCAACUGGAACAUCGUCUCCGCCUACUGUCACCUCGCAUGCGAGUUGCAGAACAUCGGAGCUCUCAUUUCCCACGGUAGAAUGACUUUAAAGUUGAACAGAUUGAUGAUAAGAUAUUUUAUCACACAAAAUUUUUCCGGCAGGCCGUUGUCUAGUUCGGUAUAUAUACUGCUUUAUUUUAUUUUUUGUAUUAGUUCAUACAUACUGUUAGUGUUAGUGGUAUUUUCUUCCUUUUUAUACUUUUUAUUUUAUUGUAUUAUUUUUAUGUAUUCAAUUCAAUACGAUACUAUCAGAGUAUACAGUAUACUUUAACAGUAUAUGUAUAUAAUUUAUUUUUUUUUUGCAGCACUUCAAUAUUAUAUUUUACUAUCUAAGGAAGAAGGCGAAAUAUAUAAUUAAUAUGCCAAUCAAGGUCACAACUACAUAUACUCUUUUUAAUAAUAUCUUUCAAAGGAUUUAUGUAGAAUUUAUAAAAGGUGGGAAAAAAGAUCAUUUGAUUGAUAGAUAAGACGAUAUCGUGGAGUACAUGAAAGGAUUUCGGAUGUAUUGCAACACUCCGAUUGAUCAUGCCCUCUUUCUAAUUAAUUUGGCAGAAAAAUAGCAUUGGAUAUUGUGGUGUGUAUCAUUCCAUAAGAGAUGUUUUUAUAUAUAUGAUUCCCUACGUGGUCGAAAGCACAAAAGUUGUUCAAAAGGUGGCAGAGGUAAAUGUUAUGUUGAUCCCCCUGUUUCUGGUUAGCAUUGACUUUUAUAAUUAAAAAAAGUGCCAUUGUAGUAGAAACAUGACUGAUCCCUUUGAGAUUGAACUGAUUACAAAUCUGCCAAUGCGGCAAAAUUCGUAAGAAUAGUUACUUUUUUUUACUUUGUUUUCCUCAUUCAUGUUAACAUUUUCAAUACUAAUUAAUUUUGUAUUAUAUUCAUUUAUUUUAUUUCAAAGAUUGUGGAGUAUAUGUUGCAUGCUUUGCUGAGUACAUUACUGAAGCUCUUCCAAUGCCUGUUGACAAUCUUUAUGUGGACGGUUUUCGAGCCAGGUUUGGUAUACUAUUAUGGAACUAUGGGAGGAACAAGCAGUUGCAUGGUGAAUCAAGGGAGUCAAAGGCUCCAGGAGUAACAAAAAAGACCCAUGGAAAAAAGUGCAAGAACUAGUAUAGGGAUCUUUUUGCUGUUUGUUAAUAGUAGCAUGAAAACUUUGCAGGAUUUUAAUAGUUUUUGGUGAAGUAUGAUAUUUUGCAUUAGUAGAUUGUAAAAUGCUUGCCUUUAAAAGUUUGUGUUCUAUGAAUAUAAUUGUAAUAUUAUAAUAUAUUUCUAUAACAGUUUUUAGUUUGGAUUAUGUAUUUUUAGUGUUGGAAUCUAUCUUCAGUUUAGCAGUUUUACUUUUGGCAACAUAUUUGUUUGAAUAAGAUUGAAAUAUUUUAUAAAGUGAAUUGGGUUUGAAUUUGUGUUAAGAACAGUUUUUAGUUGUAGUUGAAUCUGCUAAGUUUUUAUUUUUUUGAGCAGUUAGAUUACAUAUUUACCUGUCUACACAUGAGCUGCAAAGUGUGCCUAUUAUGCUAAAAAUUUAUGUACAGAUUUUGCAUUGGUGCAGCAGUUAUAUUCUGCAAAGAUUUUGGUUCAGAUAUAUUAAUGCAUUAGAACUAUAUACCAAUUAGGUAUACAGAUAUACCAUUUGGGUAUCAGAUUGUAUUUGAGUAUAUUUUUUCCUGCAGCAACUAGAUGUAAAUGCAUUCCACUUUUAUAUACUAAAAUACUUAUAUGAGCUGCAAAAGUAUGCCUAUUAUACUAAGAAAUUCUGUACAGAUUUUGCAUUGUUGCACCAGUUGUAUUCUGCAAAGAUUUUGGUUCAGGUAUAUUAGUGCAAUACAACUAUAUACCAAUUAGGUAUACAUAUAUACUAUUUGGGUAUCACAUUGUAUUUGAGUAUCUUUUUUCCUGUAGAAACUAGAUGUAAAUGCAUUCCACUUUUAUAUACUAAAAUACUGACAUGAGUUGUAAAGUGUGCAUUCCACUUUUAUAUACUAAAAUAUUGACAUGAGUUGUAAAGUGUGCCCAUUUUGUUAAGGAAUUCUGUACAAAUAUUGUAUUUUGGUACACCACUUGUAUUUCUGCAUAGAUUUUGGUUUAGCCAUAUUAGUGCAAUACAACUAUAUACCAAUAAGGUAUACAUAUAUACCAUUUGGGUAUCACAUUGUAUUUGAGUACCUUUUUUCUUACAGCAACUGCAUGUAAAUGGCUUCCAAUUUGUUAUACUAAAAUAUUGACAUGAGCUACAAAGCCUACCCAUUUUGUUAAGGAAUUCUGUACAGAUAUUGCAUUUGGUGCACCACUUAUAUUUCUGCACAAAUUUUGAGUUUAGCCAUAUUAGCGCAAUACAACUAUAUACCAAUAAGGUAUACAUAUAUACCAUUUGUGUAUCACAUUGAAUUUGAGUGCCUUUUUCCUGCAGCAACUGCAUGUAAAUGGCUUCACUUUUAUAUACUAAAAUACCAAAUAAGCAAAUUCUUAUUGAAAAUACAAGUACUUUCCUGAAAAAGUAAUUUAGCAAACAAUCACUAUACAAACUAUAUGUCAAGAGUAAGGCUUGCAUUUUAUUUCUUGGAAAUUCAAAUGAUAUGAUUCUACCAUAUAUGAGUUUUAUAAAAAAUAUUGAAGCAUUAUAUAAAUCUCUCUUUGGAAUAUUUCUACACGUUCUCCGGUUGUAUCCUUUUUUUCCGCUUAGUACACAUGUAAUUGUAUGUCCUUCCCAACCUCCUAUGCCUCUCUUCUUUUUAGGUCAUCCUGGUUUGCUUUUUCUUUUGGUGGUAGUACCACAUGCAAAGAGACAUGUUCUGAAAUUUGCCACGUAAUUUCAUCUGGCAAAGGAUUUACCGGUAUCUCUUUUGUUUUUAGAAAGUAGUCUUUAAUGUAGUAACCCGAGCAAUACUUUUAUGCAUCCAUAUAAAUUUUUUGUAUAAUUGCCAUUGCAUGUGGACAGGGAAUAUUGUCUAGCUGAAACAUUCCAUAAGUACAGUUUUUUUUAUGUAGGCGCGCCACAUUUAUUUGGCCAUCAACUACUCAAUGUAAGAACUCAGUUGAUGGCAACACUUAAUAUAAUUUUAAUUAAGAAAAAUUAUUAGAUGUGUGAAGUAAUAGUUUUUUUAAUAACAAUAUGUAGUUUUUUUAGUGAAAUGUCUAAGGUGCAGAAGUAAACUACAGUACAUGCAGUAUUUUUAUGAUUCUUAAAAUGCAUACCGUCAUUGCCUGUGAUGAGAUAAUAUUAUCUGCCAAUAUAGUUUUAUACUUUUCGCCGAUCUUCAUAAAUGAUUUCACGGCAUUCUUCCAACUGGUGUAAUUCCUUUUCUAUGUCAAGAUCGUCUUAAAGUAAAGCAAAUUAACAACUGGGAGGUCGCUUGCGUGCUUGUUUAUUGCAGUUAGUGAUUCUGCAAUAUUUGUUGUCAUGGUCAUAGUUCUAUUUGCCUUGGAACGUGCCCGGGACCAUCUAUCAUAUCCAAUAUCCAUCAAUGUUUUCACUCUACUAUCAAUAGCUUCUAACUCUGUCAUAUGACUGUUGAAUUCUUCAAUAAUGUAUGCUCUUGCUAACGCAAAGUAUACUUCUUUAAUUUAUUUUUUGGCUCUUCCUGAAGUUCGUCUUUAUGUUAUUCCACGGAUGGAAUAUACAUGCACAAUGAGGGACUUUUGGAUAAGAAUUUAAGUUGCUCUCCAUAUACCAUCAUGGUUGUCUGAUACAAUGCACAUACACUCUCUUUGUCCAUAGGUUUCUCUGAACUUCUCAAGAACCACUCGCACGAUCCAUCGUUCUCUGAAUCAACAAUUGCUUAUGCAAGGAUAGAAUUUGUCCUGUAAAAUCAAAUAAAAAAUAUUAAUUACAAGAUACAAUAUUAAUAUAUCAUUUCAUAUAGUAGUAUAGUCAUAGGUAGGUACAGGUAUGUAGCAAAAUAAUUAUAUACUCUGUUGGUAUACUUGUAUACCAUAUUGGUAUCAUAUGAUACUGAGGAUCUUUUUUGCUGCUUAAUUGAAUGUAAUUGAAUUGCAUUUUUGAAAUACUAAAGUACAUGAAUUAUUCAAUACUGAUUUUGAAACUUUUUUUCUUACUUUCUGCGUCUUGCGUGGAAGUCGUGAGUAUGGUCCCUCUAUAUGUUGACUUUAAAAAACCUCCACCAACUAUAAUUUUUGGCCUACAAUAGAUACAGCCUCUAAUCGAUGCAUAUAUCCCUAUGAAUGCAUACAAGAAGCAUCCAUAUACUUCAGUGUCUAGUCGCAUCACUGAUUACAUGUUAGCGUACUCUAACAUGUAAAGAUAUAUUGGUAUUUUUUUGUAUGACUCACUUGGUGUUCCACUCAACAAUUGCAUUGCUUUUUCUUUUAAUCUCCAUUCCUGCAUGUAGCUUAAGCCCAUACCAUAUGCUUCUUGGAUGUCUCUCUGGAUAUAUGUUGGUGUAUAUAUAGUUUUGGACUCAACAAGCUUAUCUUGUACCAUAACUACAACAAAAGCUGAGAUAACUUGCUUUUGUGAAUAAAACCUCUUAUCAUUUAAACAACUGUGGACAUAAUCGAAAUCCAUCACUUUGAAAAGUUUUGAUGCUCGUAGACUUGAUGCUUUAAGGCUCCAAAUGCAUCUUUCAUCCACGCAAUCAAGGGUAUACCUAUUUAUAAUACAAAUACAGUUAUGUGCAUAGAAGAGUUAUCAAAAUAAUGGUAUACCCAAAAUAUGCUAAAUAUCUAUAAUAUGGUGCUGCAAAUCCAUUGUAAAUUCAAACUAUAGUGAUCAAAAUAACUAUACAUUAAUGAAAAUAAAUAUAUGGAUGUCAGUAAACACACGGACAAACCAGUAUAAUUCUAUACUCAUAUAGUAUAUUGAUAUAGCAUACUGAUAUACUGUAUAAGUAUCAUAUUUUACGGAUAACUUUUUUUUUUUACAGAAAAUAAAAACACUAUCAUAACAGGGUUUAGUCUGAUUGUAUACAAAUUUAAUAUGACAUAAUAAGCAAGCAAUGGAAAUAAACAUAUAGUCUUUACUUCCAAAAAUGCAGAUGAACCUUUUUAGGCUUUAAUUAACCUGAUAUUGAUAUUUUUCUCUGACUGCAUAUUAUUUCAUAACAAGAACCAACAGGUUCUUGUCUUUGUAAAUUUGUUCUUUUUCAACUUUUUGAUGAAAUGGAUCAGUUAUGAUGUUUGCAUCAUCAAGUUGCAUACCGGUGUCAUCUCCUUCUUGCACGUUAAAAAUGCUUAUCAUAUCACUGGUUUCAGAUUGUGCAAUUUCUGAUGAAGUUGUAGCAACAUCGACAUUGGAGGUGCUUGCACCAAUAGUAUUUUCAGCGAAUGACACACAUAGUUAUGUGGGAGUGUUGUCAUCCCUGCACUUGAUUUUUUCAAUUUCAUGUAAACAUUAACGCUCAUAUCGCUGCAAAUUGUAAUAGGUGGAUAUCCUUGAGCAAUAGCAUAUUGAAUAACUAUUGUGCUAUUGUCCUUCUGCGGUUGCUUUUCAAUCUCUCUGAGAAGUUGUUCAAAUUUUCAGUAUGUCUUUAUUAGAAUUGCAUUAACAUGAAAAUUUAUGAAAUUAUGAUUAUCAUUCCAUUCUCUGUUGUGCUGCAGAAAAAUUGGUAUAUUUUCCAUUGUUCUACAGAGUCUCAACUUAGAUUAUCAAACUAAACUGCUUUUAUCUCGAAAAUUGAAUCUCAACAGUGCAAAUUUCGGCAUUAUUAAUGUCAAAUAGUGAAUUUGAGCAAGAAAUGUUUUCAAAUUAAAUCAGUUGCUAUGAUUCAGAACUCAAGAUUUUUAGAUCUCCAUAUUGACAACAGAAUUUCAGUUAAAAAUCAGUUUUUAUUCGAUGCUUUUACACAGCUUGAGAACUAACUGUUUUUAUCUCCAAAAUCGAAUCUCAACACUGUUACUGUCAAAUGGUAAAUUUGAGCAACAAAUUUUUCCAACUCAAAUCAGCUGCUAUGAUUCAGACCUCCAGUUCUCAAUAUUGGGAAUAUAAUUUCAGUUAAAAUUUAGUUUUUUCGAUGCUUAUACAUAGUUUGAGCGCUGAACUUCUUUAAUCUCCAAAAUCAAAAUCUGAACAACGCGAUGCGAAUUUGAGCCGCAAAAGUUUCAGCAUCUUCGAACUCAAAUCAGUUGCUAUGAUUCGUAUCUGCAGAUUGAAAAUAUUUUUGGUUCAACAGAAUUUGAGUAGAAAAAAGGUACGAUUUUUAGCUGCUAUCGUUCUGUGUUUUCAGCCUUUGCAUCGCGAUCUUCAAAUCUUCAACAAUGACUCUGUGAUCUAAAAUUUUUGUUGUUGUAAUCUCAAUUUUUAUGCGCUAGUUUUUGUGAAAUUCUAUCAAAAUUUGAGCUGCUCUUCCGUUUUUAUAGCUACGGCAUUAGGUGUUUGGUCGUUAUUUUGGGUUUUAGUGUCUUUUAGCUUAAAUUGGUAGCAUUUAUAAUUAUUUAAUGGGUAGAAUUUUUAAUGGGCAGAACAUGAUAAAUAUUUUAAUUUUUAUAGGUAAUCAUGUCGUCUUUACCCCAGGAAAAAAGGUACAAAACAAAAA
RNAcentral lists this long non-coding RNA (47619 nucleotides) under Nicotiana tabacum (common tobacco). RNAcentral's name for it is "long non-coding RNA (NTAB_LNC018145)". Lineage: Eukaryota; Viridiplantae; Streptophyta; Magnoliopsida; Solanales; Solanaceae. The record is from RNAcentral.